GGUGCCAUUAUAAGUUUGAAGUACUCUUUCUGCAGCUGGACGAGUUAAAAACUCAAUAAAACCGUAACCCUCGGACUGGCCGGUUUGCUUGUUCCGAAUCACUUUCACAGAGGAAACCUGGAGAGACAAACAAUGUUAAAUCUCAACAGCAAAAAAAAAAACGAAAUUUCGGAACCGCUUCAUAUAUACCAACAUGUGUGUAGACAAAUCUUUAUGCAAUCAACCUAAUAAUCACAAAACUAGAUCUUUUUUUUCCCAACAACAACGAUAAAAAGAAAUAAUAAAGACACACACACACAAGAUCUAAAGUGGGUGGCGUUCUUAGACGUACCUCGCCAGUAUGAGCAAAACAAUUAAAGAUAUAGUUCUCGUCCAUCCAGUACUGCAAGUCUCCGAUCCAGAGGGUACGAACCUCAUCCCCGUUGGCAGACUGAGGGGGUUGGCCCUGUGGGGAACCGGCCUGUGGCUGCUGAGGCCACAUCUGAGGAACAGGCUGAGGUUGGGGCGGCUGAGGGGGCAUCAUCAUGUAAGGAGGUUGCUGUUGUUGGUACUGAGGGGCCUGGUGAGGCAUGUUGUGAGGGGCAACACCAGGUGCAGGCUGCAUGGUAAUGGAGAAAGGGAUAAGAGAAUCUCCUUAGUGAGGAAAGAAGGAGAAAGAAGAAGAGAGUUUUGAGUGUCUCGUCUGGACAAAGAGAGAAACCCUAACCCUAGAAGCCGAUAAUGGGCGAAAAGGGAGGAAACAAAGAGAAGGGGGCCAGUGGGGGAAUCGAUUACAUUUAUCGUUUUAAAAAAGGAAAUAAAAUAAAAAUAAUUUGUUUGGUACGUUUUUACUUAUCCCAAAAACUCACCAAACCUUUCACAUUUGGAUUCACUUAGAACAAAGAAAAUAAAAUGUUUUUCUUUUUUUCUCUACAAAUCGUUAAACAUUUCUAAAUACAUCUGUCAUUUUGUUUUAUGUUUUCUAUUUCUUCUUUUCAAUUUUGAACUCUGCUUUUUAAAAUAUUUGGAAACUUGAAUUCUAUUUUUUGAAAACGGUUUUCCAUUCGUAUUUGUAGAUAAACUAUUUUCGGUCUAUAAAAUCGUCAUAUUUUUUAUUUAAUACUUUUUUUUUCUAAACUACACAGAAAAAUGUAUAUAAACUUUUAAAUGUUUUAGAAAAGGUUCUUAAAACUUUCAAAAAAUAUGUUUAUUGUUAUGAGAUUUGGGUGGAGAAUGAAGAAAGAAGAAAGUAUGAUUACUUAACAAGUUAAUAUCCAUUAAUCAUUAUUGUUACUUUUAAUUAUUAGUUAUAAAUUACUAUUUAGACUUAAUAAACUUCAACAAAUACAUUACUUUAUAUCAUGUUAACUAUUUAAUAUAAGAGAUGGGUCGAAACUGAACCAAAUCCAAGUCAAUAGACCGUAGCUAAUCCUUCACUUGAGGCAUUCGACAUAGAUCCAUUAAUCUAAGAAAAUUCCACAAAUUGUUCUUCAACAAAUCGUGAAUCUAUUCUUCAAGAAAGAGAAUGUGUCAUAUUCAUAUUUGAUUGACCAUCUCUAGCGAACAAAUCAUUUAUUCGUUUUCAACAAGUUCACCAUCUAUUCUUCAAAUGAAUAUAUCUUAUUUUCUUCAACAACUUUGUCGUAUAUGCAUCAUCUACAAAUUGAAAAAUGAACUUUUCAAAUGUUUGAAAACUUCGACUAAUUGAUCGACUUUUCAUCAUAUAAAAACUGAAGACUGAUAUUCUGAAAAUUUUGAAGACUUCAUCAAAUUAAUCGUUUUUUCACCAUCUACAAGUUGAAGAUUGAUCCUAAAAAAGAUCAACAGGUCCAACGACUCAUAAUAGAAGAAGAUCAACAAACUUAAAAAUUGAAUUUUAUAUAUUUAAGAGAACAUACUAGACGGUAAAAAUUAAAUAUUGUAAUAUUUGCAUUUUCACAAAUAAAAUUUAUUUGGUCAAAAUCUCGUGUUAACCCAUAGUUUUUUCUAUAAAAGAGUGACAAUGAUGAUAAUCACAAACGAUAAUGGUAGCAUUAGUGUUUAUCAAUAGGAUGACAACUUAUUUAGACAUGUGCUCUCCUUGUAUUAUAACAUAAUUAAACAACACUAAACAUAAUCACAUGAAUCCUUUUUAGAUCACCGUUGAUUCAUUAUUCGUUGAACAUGAGUAAAACAUGUCUUAUUUUAAUAUAUAAAAAUAAUUAAAUAAGAAAACCACCUACUAAAUUUUACUUUUUGCUCGAGUAACUCGAAUUGAGUCAAGUCAAAUAUUUCAUGGUUGAAUUUUGUUGGAAUUUUUAACUAAAAUUAUUUAGUUUGAAGAAAUCUACAACCCAAUAAAUGAAUAAGCAUACAACACAACUCAAGCCACAAAUACUAAUUCAAAACCAAGCACAUGAAGUCCAAACAGUACCAACCACACACCAAUAUUAGGUCUUCCUAUUAAAUUCAGUAUUAUAAGCUAACUUAUUCCAAUCUCCCACAAUGUCUGGAAAAUAUAUUUUCUCUCUUUGGAGGUGAAGAGAUUUGAAUGAAGAGCCAAUACUUCACAUGAAAGUUCCAUUUUCAUUAAGACUGAUCACUUUUGGAAGAUUUUAGACAUUGUAUCUUUGGCAUUAGUCCAGAAAAGAAUUCAAUUCGCAACAUUAGUCCAAAUCCAUUUAUGUAUUUAUUUAAGGAUGAAAUUUAAACUUAAGCGAACUUGUGUUUAUAAACUCGUAUAAGGCACAAAAUUGAAUCUAGCAAGUUGGAAUUAAUCUAUUAAUGAACUGUUGCAUAAGGCGCAUAAUAGGAUUAAGAAAUUUGGAAUUAAUCUAGUAAUGGCUAACCGAUUUUAAUUAAACAAUGAAUACACCUUCAAUAUUGUACAAGCAAAAGUUGAACAAUUUCAGAAACCAAACGUCUCAAUGGUUCGACGACAAUUCCCAUUGUACAGUAAUACUAUGAAAAAACAUAACAAACAGUUUCAAGCCAGAAAAAGUGAAAUAGGGUAGAGAAACAUCAGCAAGAACAUAAGUAGUAAGUAGUUAACCCACGUACAGCCUUUAACAAGGACUUGAGAAAAUUACAAGAUCAUUCAACUCCUACCAUAAUAGAUAUGAUCAUAUGAAAAGAAACAAAUAACACAACACGCAAAAACCUCUAACGCCAAAUACAACACACAACUGACAUCAAGUCAACGGAGUCAUACAGAAUAUUUGUUUAGAAUAGAUGAGAGAGUAACAUCUCCAAAAUCUUCUACAAAUGACAAGCAGAAGUUUAGGGUCUCAUUCGAAUUGAGAGGUGAGGCAAGAGAAAUAGAACUUGUCAUCUACAUAUAUCCACCUUGUUGCUGUGAUGGCUGCUGUGUUGCUGGUUGCUGGUAGUUCCCAUACCCACCAUAGCCACUGUAGAACAUGUUAGGGUCUUGGGCAGCUGGAGCAUAGCUAUAAUUUUCAUAUCCUUGUCCAUAUCCAUAAUAUCCUCCUCCUCCACCUCCUCCUCCAUUCCAUUGAUUAGGAUCAGCCUGAGGCUGUAAAUUUAAAAUAGAGGUCAAUAAAGCUAAUAUAUUAUUUGCUUUAAUGAAUACAAGAAUACAAGUGAAGCACAAUAAUAGUACCUGUUUGUUAGAAGGACUACGACCCCACGAAAGUCUAAUGUUUUGCCCACCAAUUGGGGUUCCAUUCAAAAUGCGCAAAGCUUCCUCGGCGCAGCUUCUAAAAUAGUAUUAAGGAAAACAAAAUACAAAACUCAUGAGCAAAUGAACACCACAUGAUGGGAAGAAGGGGCGUAGGUGUCAUGAAAGCUUUUGAAAAUACCAACCUGUCUGAAAAUUGAACAAAGCCACAUCGUUUGCCUGCAGGAAUCUUAACAUGCACCAGCUCUCCAUACUGACUGAAUACUUGUCUCAAGUGCUCAUCAGUGACAUUAGAAUCCAAAUUCCCCACGAAUAUCUGAAACAAAAUCAAAUAAUAACUCAUAAAUACGUCCAUGAGAUAAUAUUGCUAUUGAAAAUUAUUGGAGUACCCACAGUUGUAUUAUUUGGAUCGUUCUCAUUCUGUGUGCCUGGAGGAUUCUGGUAUGAAGCUGCAUUUGAAAAUAUUAAACUAAAAUGACAUCUUCUAUCAACAUGAACUAAAAAAAUCCUUAGAUCAUUUUUACCCAAGUCAUUAUCAUGUUGCAUUAUCGUUAUGGUAAAUAAUAGUAAUGAAAAUUAAAACCAAGAUACAUGCAAACUAAAACAUGAUAAAUUCAAAUGACUAGCAAUCAAAAUAUCCAUGAAAAGAGACAUCCAUUCUUUAAAUAGAUGCAGAAUUAUAACAGUCACAUCCUGGCUGUAAUAGCUAAUACCGAACAACGGAAAUAAUUAUAAUUAUAUAUAUUACGGAGGGGGAGGGGACUAAACUCUUAUGGGACCUGAUUUUUUUUUUUAUUCAAAUGAAGAUAACUUGAAAUGGUCUUAAAAUGCAGACAAUGUGCCACAUCGAUAAUUAAUUCUCCCCUAAAAAUUCCCAUCAAACAGAAGCCACCAUAAUGUCGACAUUCCAACUCUUCAAAAUUUCCAUAUUUGAUUAUUGUCUUCUCUAUCAUUCACUGAGGUUUACCUAUUUUACACCUCAAAGAUGUAAGCCUCCUAUAAUUUCAAAAAGGCAUAAGAUUUGAAGAACUUCAAGGCUUUCAGCUCAUAUCAAUACAAAAACAAUAACAUGGAGAUCGGAAUAUGAAGAAUAAAAGAUACUGUGCCAAACAUAAUAAAUGCAAAAUAACCAAGUGAUUCAUCAUGGAGACCAGAUUAAUUGUGAAAAAGCCUACAUAAUAAUACACGAGAAAUUCUGAUCUAAUGAACUAAAAUAAAACAUAUAGCCUCCUCAACUUCUGACUUGAGGCAACCAUAAUGUGACGUAUUGGAAAUUCUGCCACGCACCACUAUUUAGCCAAUCAAUCACAUGAAAUGAUUCACACCAAGAAAUGGUAUGAGCAUUAAAAAAAAAAAAACUAGAAGCCUUUAAAUCAACAAAACCAAUCAAUACAAUCCUAACUACAAGAAAGAUACAUACAGAGCAUACUUGGAUGAAAAUAGACCCACCGCGAUGGAAGAAGAAUAGAAUAUUCCAAAGGAAAGACUUAACGAAAUACAGAGCUACAGAAUGAAAAGCUAGUAAGAAAUGAAAAUUCAGGCAGAUCAAGAAAUGUAUCAAAACCUUUUGUUGAUAGAUGAUUUGUCUACAAAAAGGGAAUCCAACCAUCAAAUAUUGAAAAUAAAACAUAGAGUAAAUCCCAUAAACCCAAAAUAUUAGGAGGUGAAGGACAAGCUCAACCUAUAUGACCUACUGCAGUUGUAGAAGGAAAGUUCAGAACCAAACUAUGUUACUCCAAAUUCCCAGUUGCUGGAAAUUUAAAAAAACCAUCUAGCUAAAGAACCUAAGACAAGUGACCUAAACUUUAAAGAAAAAUAAAGGAAUUAGAAGUGGUAAAAUGCCAGGGAGAGAAAAAAAUACCCAUGCAAAUCAAAGGAAAAACUAAACGUUGCAGAACUAAAGGUGAAUUAAAAACCGCAGCAUAAAUAUGCCACAUAAAAAGAAAGAGGUAAGACAUUGGCGGAAAAAAAACUGACCUAAAUGGAACAACGUAUUAAAGGGUAAGCGUGUCAGCUGAAAUCAGUAGCGGACCCCAAGCUGACAGAGCCUUUUGACACCCUGCUUAAAGAAAAGAGGAGUUUUAUAAGUUUAUUAAUUCUUCUUUAUAGUACUUAAAAUGACCAAAGCUCGAAUUGGAAGUACACGAAGGAAAAGGCAUGAAAGGCUAUUCUUCCAAGGUAUACGAGAGGGGAAUUAAAAUGCUGGAAACUAGAAAUAGAAGUAACGGAGAGGAGCUAAAUCAGGACAGAAAAUAGAAGUUGCAUUGCAUCUUGCCAUAUUGAAAGCAAAAUGAAUCGAAAAACACUAAUCAGUAAGCACAAAUGGGCACAUCCAUAUGAUGAAUGAAUGACUGAGAAGAUAUUCCAAACAAAAUUCAAUGCCUUGUUUUUCAUUUAAAAUUUUCCAGUUUCGGGGGGGGGGAGUUCGUAUUUACUUUUCGAAAACUGCUGACUGCCAGAAGUGUUCUUGUUAGCUGCUGGUCCGAUUCGCAUGGGUCUGGAUGAACAGUGAACACCGUUCAUCUCAGUCAUAGCCCGAAUUUGUUCAGACUCAUCCCCAAACUUUACGAAACCGUAACCCUUAGUACGUCCAGUGAGCCUAUCGAUCACAACUUUAGCACCCUUAACUGAGUUAUACCGUGCCCUAAAUGUUUCUUGUAGCACAUAAUCAGUAACAUCACCAGCCAAAUCUCCCACAAAAAUAGUGUAAUCAGGAGAAUCAUCUUGUCGCUUCUCCCCUGCUGAUGCCCAGUUCAAUCUAAAAUUUUGUGCCCCAUUGGGCAUGGCGGUGCCAUUAUAAGUUUGAAGUACUCUUUCCGCAGCUGGACGAGUUAAAAACUCAAUAAAACCGUAACCCUCGGACUGGCCGGUUUGCUUAUUCCGAAUCACUUUCACGGAGGAAACCUGCAGAUAUAAACAACAUCAAUUAUAAACAAGAAAGAAGAAAGAAGAAAUGGAAACGAUUCUUGUCCACCGAAAUCACAAUGCAGUAACAUGUGUGGGCACAAAUCUUCAAGAACUCAACCUAAUAAUUAUAAAACCAAAUCUUUUCCCAACAACAGCAAUGAAAACAAAUAAUAAAGACAUAUACACAAAAGAUCUAAAAAUGGGUGGCGUUGACUGACGUACCUCGCCAGUAUGAGCAAAACAAUUAAAGAUAUAGUUCUCGUCCAUCCAGUACUGCAAGUCUCCGAUCCAGAGCGUACGAACCUCAUCCCCGUUGGCAGGUUGAGGGGGUUGGCCCUGUGGAGAACCAGCCUGCGGCUGUUGAGGCCACAUCUGAGGAACAGGCUGUGCUUGCGGGGGCUGAGGCUGCAUCAUCAUGUAAGGAGGUUGCUGUUGUUGGUACUGAGGAGCCUGGUGAGGAAUGUUGUGAGGAGCAACACCAGGAGCAGGCUGCAUCGUUAUGGAGAAGGGGAGAAAAGAAAAACAAAUCUCCUUAGGAUGGGGAGACGGAGAAAGAAAAAGAGAGUGGUGGGUGUGUCGUUCGGACAAAGAGAGAAACCCUAACCCUAGAAGCCGAGAAGGAGGCGAAAAGGGAGGAAAGCAAAAGGAAUGGGAUCGGUAGGAAUCGAUUAGAUUUAUCGUUUUUUUUCUUUUCACUUAUCUGAAAGGUUUGAGGCCGUGGUUUUAGAGCAAUGGGCCCCACGUCCAGGGCGAACUUCGUAUUGACGCUCAAAGAAACCAACCAAUCAGAAAACGAGCUCAUGGAUGUGAAGAUGAAACCAACCUCACACGAAUAGUUUGUCUUUCUAUUGAAUUGAGUAUCAUAUAGUAAUAGCAAUAGACUAUGACAUGACUUGUUCAAAUAUCCAACCAUCUCUUCAAAAUAUUCUCAAAAAGUAUAAGAAAAAAAGGGAGUACUCGUCUGCCAUUUGGGACGGGUUUAUCUGGGCUGGCUUCGAGUUUAUUAAAAGGUGCAACUAUAUCGUAAUUCUUAAAAGUCAAGGUCGUGUAUGAAGCUCUUUUUUUCUUUUUAACUUGUGAUUCUGAAAUUUGACUGUUUUGAGAGUGCAACUUAAAUAAUUGACUCAUUCAAUGAUUUUAUUGAAGUAUUUUUUGUUCAUACUCGAGGGUAGGUUUUAAGUGUGAGAGUCACUAAUUACUUGUCAUAUUUGACAUUUUCACAGUUAAAAAAAGAAAGAAAAGAAAGCCCGUUUUCAUCCAUUGUUGUAAACCUUUCUAAAAUUGAUACCAAAAAUUUGAUUUGGAUAUUGUCAUACACCAAGUUGUUGUCACUUUACCGAAAAUGACCUCAAGGGACGCUGCAAGUUGCCGAAAAAAUAUCCAAUGCUUUGUUAUAUUUAGAGGUUGAAAAGGCCUCUUCAAAAUCCUAUAUCCAUUCUCACCACUAACCACCCCCCGCCAAAACAUCCAAAAAUCUUCCUUCCCAUCAACAAUGGAGAUUUCUACCUCUACUCCUCAUCCCCUUCUCUUUCCUUACUACCAUUACUCCAUUCCCCAUAAUUACGUUCACUGGGUUCAAACCUCAGACUCUCAUCUUUUCUCCGCCGAUCUCCCUGGUACUUCCAUUUUCCCCCAUUCAUUUCUACCCCACUUGGUUUUUAUUUAUUUAUUUAUUUUUACGUUCUCGUUCGUUAAUUUUACGUGUAGGUGUUCGGAAGGAGGAGAUAAAAGUGGAGGUUGAAGAUUCGCGGUAUCUGAUCAUUCGGACAGAGGCUGUGAAUGGAGUUACUUCUCCGGCCAAGAGUUUCUCCAGGAAAUUUCGACUUCCGGUUUUGGUUGAUGUAGAUGGAAUUUCGGCUGGGUUUGAGAAUGGGGUUUUGGAGAUCACGGUACCAAGGUCGUCUUUUAGGAGAAGAUCUGUUGUUCAUUCUCCUGACCAACAUCAACUUCUUGCCAGGGCUGCUUGAUCGAUCAAUUUGAAAGCGAGUUUGCUGCCCUCUCUGCUUUCUAUUUUCCAUUUUUUUUCUCUUUUGGUUGGUUGGAAAAUUGGAGAAAUUUGAAGCUCUGUAUUGUUAGUUUGUGAUGAAUAGGAAGAAUUUAUGUAUCAACAAAUUAAAUUGUUGGGUUUACAAGUAGAAGUAAGUGUAGGAUUGGAUUGAUCUGGUUAAAUUUGGACUGCUUGAUGUUUAUUCAAAUAUUUUUAUGAGUUCCAUGUCCACUUGGUUACUUAAUUUUGACAAUAGGGAUCAAGGCAUUAAAUUUAAUGAUAGAACACAACUUCUUAUGUUCAUGAAUUUGAUGGAGCAGCCUUUUUGGAGGGAGAAAACAUGAACUGACCACAUUUUACAUUACCAAUGAGAUGAGUUUUUACAGUCAAAAGAGAGAAAUAGUUAAUGCUUCCACACCACUUUAGUUAUAUAAUAUUAAAUUUUGUUACUGUAGAUUUUGUGUUUUUUAUUUUCUAUAUAAAAAUUACUUCUUUAUAUUCUCCAUUAAGAGUUACGAAGUUCAAAGAUAUGUAAGAUAGAAAAUUAAUAGUUUUUAAGUAGUUUUCAUUCACUAGUAGAUUUCUAAUCAACUUACGUUGUUAGGACUUAAAGAAUCUAUCCAACUUAACUUCUUUAUAACAAAAAUCAAUAUUAGAAAUUAUGAUAUGUAAAUCGUUCUAUUAUAUAUAUUAAAAUUUAGAAAAUUAUUACACACUAUUGAUAAUUUCAAAAGUUUAAGAACUAAACUUGUAAUUUAACAUAUUUUUUGUCUUAUAAAAUUAUGAUGUUACAAAUAUUGCAAUGAUAAAGCUUCAAAUCAUUGUGAAUAUCUUUGACAAGUUGAUAACCACUUGGUUCUUAAAAUGUAAUGCUAUAAACUAUCACAGUAUUUUGAUUUUUUAGACUAAGUCUACGAACGUUUUUGAAAAAUGUAAUUUAAAAAAGGCAAACAUAUAUUUGGAAAAUUUUAAAAUAUUGUAGGAGAGUUGAGAAAAAAAUACAUUUAAAAGAACUGAAUAUUAUUUUUUUUAAAACACUAAAAUAAAACUAUUACGAAGUUUGGGGAUUAUGGUAAAUAAUACAAUUGUUGAAAACAUUUACAAAAUAUAGAAGAAUUUUAGAUUCUAUCAACAAUAUUUAUCUUUAAUAUAUAUAAAGUUUGGUAAAUAUUUUAGUUUAUUUUACUAUAUUUAAAAAUGAGCGAUAUCAAAUUAAAUCUUAAUUGUUAAGUUAGGUUCAAAUUCGUAUUUCAUUUAAAAUGUGAACUAUGUUUAUAUCAAAUAAUUUUUAUUUUGCAAUGGUCUAACAAAUUUACUAUUAUGGGUUAGAUUUCAUACCAACAACACCUGGUUAUAGACGUUAAUAGAAGUUUAUAUUUAGAAAUGCUUUCAUUUAAUAGAUACUUACCGAACACAAACUUCAAGGUGAGAGGAAAAAAGAGGUUAAAAUUGUAAUUUAAAGAAUAUUUAAAUAUAUUGGCAAAUUUUACUAUUUUUGCUGAAAAGAUUUGGAAAAUAUUUUUAUAAAAGAUGUAUAAAAAGCCACAACUUGCCUCUAUUUUAUUGAAACUGAUAACUUUAACAAGAAUCAAUGCCCUUUUGGACUUCAGAAGGCACCAAUUAGCUGCAGCAUCAAAAUCGAAGUCUGAUAUUUUGGAGUCCCAUAAGCCAAUCGACCAUUCAAUCAAAAUUUGCGGUGGGUAUUCCUGAACAAAAAGGCUACAACACGUGGUUUCUUGUAAUUGUGUCUACACAUGCAACCAAUCACAUCACCAUUGUCAAUUAACUGAUAAACAUCUCAAAGACAAAUAAAUCAGUAACACAAUGUUACAAAACAACGCUGUCAAGGAGUGUGGAUUGUGCAUAAAUUAUGCACACCAAGUAUAUUCUUGUUAAUCUGUACACUAUGAUUUGAAUAUACAUCUCUUACUCUCCAUGUUAAGGUUUAGAACUCAAAACUCAUUUCCCACACAACAAAUAUAUGAAUAUUAGUAGUUAGGCUUAGCACAUGGUGACCGUUACCAAUUGUUAGUUGUCAACUUCAGAAGUUCAACAGCUUCUUUCAAUCGUCUCUCUAUAUUCUCUCUCCCAUCAAGACCCCUAGCAGUCCUGCAAUAAGAACAGUGGGAUUGAAAUUUUCAGCACACGGAUAAAAAAGAAAAACAAAAAUAGAAAGGAACUGCAAUGAAUACGCGUCUGAGUCAAAUUCCUUGAGUUUGAGUUUUACCUCUUCUCGUUGUAUGCCUUUCUGGUAAGUUCCUCCGCAAGGCUGCUAAGUCGCUUUAAAUGGCCACUUGACUUGCGCACUGCUUCAAUGCCUUUUUCAUUUCUGCAGAUCAUUUUCAGAACUUCCGAGGCGAUAAAGAAGCCAUCGUCCUUAUUCCUGAAUACAAAUUGUUGACAGAUAACACUUUAGUUAUAAUGAGAAGAACUAAAUUAUUCUUAUCAUGAUGUUCUAAUUUAAAAAAUUAUAUCGACAAACCUUAGGAGCUCCCAGAGAAGAAUUUCUACGGAUCCAUGAGUAUCAAUUAGCACUUCAAUAAGAUGGGGAUAACGUGAUAAAUUUCUUAAAGUAGAGAGCGCGUGCUUCAGGACUUCCUGAUCAGGUAUGCUUCGGCUGACUGACCGAAUGAGCUUCAGCAAAGUGCUAAUAGCUCCAGCACCAACAAGGGUUUCGCAGCAUUUUUGAGAAUGUCCUGUCGCCAUAUCUACAAAAGCAGAUUUGUACAACAAAUAUUUAUUUUCAGUCAAAUGAUAAAUGAUAAGGCAUAUUCAGGAAAAAAGUGAUGAGUGAAAAAACCAUAGAACUUCAUACUUCAUCCAUAAACUGCCAAAUAUAACUACUGGAUAGUCCUUGCUUUUAACACCUUGAAUAUAAAUUUUGUAGUUUAUGGGCCAUACAAAUGCGUAAAACAGAAAUAUAAACUAGAUUAACUGUAUUCCACAUAAGCAAGGACAGCUGCAACAUGCGUAUGGGAUUCAAAUUAUCAUCGACAUAUUACAUACCUAAAGUUGCACAAGUAUGAAGAAUGCCUCGAACACUUCUCAUGCUUAGCAAUUCCGAAAGUGCUACAACUAAUCUGUUUAUAAUACGCUUGCCAUCAUCCACAUUUGCAGCAGAAUUUUGCACUCUCAAGCGCAGGUCUCGUAACUGCCCUUUUGAUCUUUUUCUUGCUAAGUAACCUUUCCAGUGUGACUAUCAAAUUUCAGGAAAGAUAAAAUUUAGAAAAAGGUACACAUCAUUUCAAAAAUUGGAGUGAUCUUUUACAUAGAUUUUGGGUUUCAGAGAACAGUUAGGCCGGUAAAUAGCUAUUCCAAUCCAGUCACGCUUUUGUCACUGACAUUAUUGAGAGAGCAACAUGAAAGUUAAAAUCAAGAUGAUGACCUAAUGUGUGUGAGUGUGUUUAUGUCUUUUUAAUUAUCACUGAUUCAGCACUUUGCCUCACGGCAGCCUCAUACUGCAAGUAGCCCCUUAUUUCUCCAUUGAUUUACCUACUUUUCUUCUUCACAUUUCAAAUCCUUCAUCCCUUCAGCUCAUUGAGUAGAAGAUCGUUUGAGUGCAUUUGAAGCUCCUAGCAUAUGGUUCUUCGAAGAGCAUACACUACAAUAUCUACUCCGAAUCCGAUAGAUUAAUUAGGACAAGUCAUCACAAUGCUAGGAGUGAAGACGGAUCUAGCAACCUCUACAACUUCUCCACUGUCUUAUGAAUUCUUUUGACUGCAUAUAACUGAUAAAAUGUUAAACAAUAUAGAACCAAAACACUUACUUGGAUCAAAACAAUCUGUUGUCUCUCUGUAGCAGCCCUUCGCCUAGAUAUCCACCCUCUGAUAUGAGACUGGAUGACAAUUAUGGACCUUGAUCUUAAUCUAAGCAAUAAAACUCCCUUCCACCACCGUUGCAGUUUUAGAAUUGAACCUAAAACUAGCUUCAACUCAAACAUUUUACAGCUGGAUCUGGAGAAAUUUCCACUGUAAAACGUUGAACGUAGUUCAGAAGCUGCACCUAAACAAUGAAGUGGUGUGAGAAAUGAAAUUAAAACAAUACAAGGCUAUCAUUGUACGUGUAGACUAGACACAAUACCUAAGAGCUUCAUUCGAGUAAUUUGUCCCCUUAUGAGUCGUUGAAUUUCUAUAGCUGCAUGUCUCUGCCUAUGAAAUGCUAUACGACCAAUCAUGCAUCGUGUAGCAGUCUGGAUCUUUAUGACGGACUCUCUCUGCAGCAAAAAUUCUUUCUGUGCCAGCCAACGACGCCAAAAACUCUAUCAAUAAAAAAAUGCACAUCAUUUAUAUAUGUUAAACAUUUCAUAUUUGCAUAGGGAAAAAGAAACACAUUUUAAAUCAUAAAUAGAACUUUCAAGGGUUGAAAUAAAUGGAUCAAGUCUAUCAUGUCAAGAUAGUCAAUCAGAUGUCACUAUAACAAACUUACUUGAACUAGAACAAUGAGACGCCUCUGCCGAUGACCUUCUCUCCUGGCAAUCCAUCCACGAACCAAAGAUUGAAUUACAAUGGCAGAUGUCACAACAUUCUUGUUAUGUGUAUAUUCUUUCUGACAUCUUAACAUACGGAUAUUUUUCUGAAUUACUAUUGUCGCCAUCCUUAGACUUAGAAACUUCCUUCUUAAAAACUUACCACGAAAAUAGCUUUGAAUUUGAAUGGCAGCAAGGUGUUCAUUACAGAAUGCUUCUCUUACCACUACAUCCUUGUUCAAUAUAGGACACUCCUCAGCAACUACUUGAAAUUCAGGUGUUUCUUUUAUUCGAUCAAUAAUGCCGAUUUCUUCAUCUGCAAUUGAAGCUAUGUUUAGAUGAGUUACUGCAGGGCCAUUUCUGUCGAAAGAUGCUACUUCUCUGCUAACUUGGUUUUUUCUAAUCAUCCAAUUCCUCGUUGCUCGUUGAAUACAUAUUGCUGACCUUUGUAAAGUCAAGAGGUCACGUGUGUCUACUGUGAGUGUGCUAUAUCUCCCAACAAUUUCAAGCUGUUUCGGUCUUUCUGUAUCAUCAAUACAACAGUAGCUUUGGUCAUGGUGAAUUUUAAAUAUUCGACCAUCCGAACUACAUAUUUAGAAACAAUCUAACCAAAAACAAAACACCAUACCACACGAAAGUGUACGGGGAGCAUCUGGUUCUGUACAAGCCAAUUUUUGCCUCCUAAUUAACCAUGCUUUGAUAAAUCUUUGUAAGAAGGAAAUUUCAUGCAUCAAAUUAAUAAACUUGCGACGUUCAACCAAUCUCCUGUAAUAUGAUUGAAUAAUUCUAGCAGCAUCUUCUGCAAAAUUUAACAGAAGAAUUCCCGUGACCACAAAAACAAAAAUAGAAGUACAAUUCUUAUGUCAAGUCAAUCACCACUUUCCUUCUUGUUGCAUUUUCAUUCUAAAAACUUUCAGAAGGUUCUUUUUUAAACUCAGACUUAAAAUAAUUAACUGAACAAUUGUGUCACAUCAUAUUCAUUUGUGUUUUUUGUAAUGUGUAUCUAGCAUGUAUUUAAACGUUGAAAUAUAAGAACCAAAUAAAAGGAAUGUUGAAUUUCAGUGAAGAAAUAAGAUUAACCUCGUAAUAAAUAAAUAAAAAAUGAGGAAGAAAUGAUAAUUAGCAUCCUAUGUUCAGAGAACUGUUUAAAGCAGUCACGCACGGUCCUAGUUCCAAUAGAAACAUAAGCAUCACUGUUUAAUGAAACGAAAGAGUUAAGGAAAAGAAAAAAUAUAUAUAAUGAUACCAGACCAGUUCAAUUUUCUGAAAUCAAUGAACAUUUAAAGAUUAAGAAUCCAUCAGUCAACGAAGAAGACAAUUGAUUGACUAAAAAAAAGUAUGAGUUAACUGAAUUACAAUCAAGUAACAAAUAUUGAUCGAUAGGUAACAUCCCAAUUCCCAAUUACCUCUUUGCUUCUUGUUCCUCUGUUUUCCUGAUGGAAGGAAUAAUGAAGUGGCGUCUGGCUUUGAAAAGGAUCUCUUGUUCUGUUCAACCAUAUCCUGCCACCAUGCACGAAUAGUCUUGAACUUUUUGGCACCAUCUGUUUCUGAAGGGAACACCAAAAUUUUAAGGCAAAAAAGAGUAUGCUCAAAAGCACUGAUUUCAUGCCAAUGUUAUCCUUCCUUAAAGAGCGAGAAUGGAUCAAAUUGAAAAACAUGUAAAUGAAUUAUGCAACAUGUACCAAGUCAAGUGCAUGUACAUAUAUGUCACUAAAAGAAGCAAAAUAUUCACUUCGUAAACAUGAAAUCAGAGUGAAAGAAGAAACCUCCAGUAUUCUGCACAUCAAAUCCUUCAAUAUUUGGCACGGCCACUGAAUUCAAAACAUACUGCCUGGAACAGAAAUGUAUUUUAUUUGGGCUUUGACAAUCGCAGUCCAAUAGUUUAUGGAAAUUCAGUUGAUCCUAGAAAAAGGAAUCAAUGUGUUUCAAGAUAUGAAACAUGGAAUGAACAAGAAGGAAUCCAAUUACAACGUGAGCAUGUGGAAACAUUACCACGCUUUUCUUCACAAUCAAUUCUGAUGCGAGGAAAGUCAACAAAAUUAUUACACUGCGGUCACUACAUGCACCACCAUACUCGAGUAUAUCACUAAUUUGCAGAAUCUGUUACAUGAAAUAUAGUAAUAAAUACUUGUCCCUUGUGAUAAUUGUAUGACAGAUGAACAUAAAAAUGAAUAAUACGAGAAAACUGCCAAUUUGUAUCAAACUAAUAACUCUCAAGCCGCAACAACUGAUUGUUUCGACUACAUCACACAACAGAGAACACCGCAUUAUAUCUCAACUUUUAAUUUACAAAUUGCGCACACACAUGAGUCCAAUGUAUCAGAAUCUCGGGGCAUUUCUUCAUUUCCAGUAUCGUUUUAUCCAUCAUGAAUUUUGAAACAUCUAAUAGGACGUUGCUUAGAAUGCCUAUAUCUUUAAACAAUCUCUUAAAAAAAAGCUCUUUCUAUUUAGUUUUCCAUUGUCUCAUACUUCACAAAACACUGUUUUUGCUCCUUGAGCUUAAGUCCUAGAUUAUAUUGUACCUUACUGUGAUUCACCUUAAAAAAAAAGUUGAAUACAUUUGUAAAAACACUAACCUCAGGAAAAUCUCCCAAUAGUGAUGCCAAUUUUUGCAAUAAUAUGAAAUUGUGUGCUGCGUCUGAACAAUGAGUGACAGACAUGAUCGAUUCUUCACCAUUUGUUUUCUGAGGAUCCUGCAUCCAGGUGAAUAAAUUAAGGUAAGGCACAAACAACGCAAUCCAUAAAAUAAUGGAAUGAGUUCGACACCUAUCUAAGUAGAAAUCAAGUAGAAUGUUGUAACAAGAUGAAUGGCACAACCUUUGAAGAGAUUGAACAGUGAAGAUCUUUACGGAAGUAGUAAUCAAGUAGGCACCAUAUUGCUUUUCCAUCGACCAAAGAAGAAAAGCUGCUAAUCUUUAUAUCAUAGUUGUCGCAGACCACCUGAAGUAAAAGACUUUCCACGUUUAAUCGAGAGGUAUAGGUUUCUGAAUUGGAUAAUUUAAAUAUUUAAAAUAGUUAAUAAAGCAAUCCAGGAUAAGAACUAGUUCGAUCAACUCCUUGCAAUGAGAAAGAGUCGAUGCUUUCCCAUACACUAAAUCUUUGUGAAAUUGAAACAGGUUGAAAACGACCAUAGAGGAGAAGGCUUCUUCAACCCAAUAACAACCUUUUAAAUACAACGUCUUCAUAAAUUCAUAUAUUUGAAGUUUGAAUAAGUGAGCAAUGAAAAAAAAAAAAAAAACAAAAUGAAAGUGUUUGCAAAAUGCUUUCCCCUAUACUAAAUCUUUAUGACCCUACUCUACAGAAUUGAAAUUAUUUAUAGCAGUGAAAUUAUUCUCGUAUUGGUAAAUACGUAUUUCUGCUUUCACAACUUUACUGAUUGUUAAAAUGGAAUGCAUAGUAUAGAAAAAAUGCUUAUAAAUUCCAAGAUUUGAUCUGGGUAAAUGAGGAAAAUCAUUACUUCCCCGCAAAACAGUGAACAUGGCUUCCGUUUGCAUUAAGGGGAAUAAAUGCACAGUGGUGAUACUUGUUGUGGUUGUAAUUUAAUGAUAGACGAAGGAGGAUGAGACUGAAAGAAAUACCUGGAUCCAAUCCAAGAUAACUUCCAAGGGUGUGGAUUUGUCAAUUUCAGAUUUUUCCUGAUGGAUGGAAAAGAGUGAGAAGGUGUGAACAUAAUUCAUUUUUCUGAAAAACGAAUCUAAUAAAGAAAACAUAAUAGAAUCGGACGUCAAAUAAUAACAAAAUAACCAACGUCUGUAUUGAGACUGAUGACACCUUUAAAAGUCUAACAAAGAAGUAUAAUACUGACCACCCCACGAAUUUUGCAGACUUCUUCAACUAGAAGGUUUUUGUUGACUAUAAGAGGCAACUGCAUUUUACAUGUGAAAGAAAAUAAGUCAUGAUUUUCUGACAUGAGAGCUAAAAGAACAAAACUCAUUGACAAUCAAUCACAUUACACAAACAAGUUGAGUGAUUAUCAUGGAAAAGCAAGAAAUUAGAAUACCUGAAGAUGAACAAACAUGUUAGAGAGCAAAGAAAGGACCAUUUCCUUCUCUCCGUUAGCAAUAUCAUCUUCCACAAGUAUCAUUCCAUCCUCAUCACAUAAUGCUACACCAGCCUGCUUAAGAUACUGCACAGCCUUGCCACAGUUUGCCAAGUUCUUCUUAUGAGAGUCUGAUGGAACUACAAUUUUCUGAAAGCAGAAUUGGAGAAAAAUUAAGAAAAAGGUAGAAAAAGUGAUUGUCACUAAGAGCUGUAUUUUCAUGAAUGAAAAAUGACACUACCGUCAGAAUGGAACAGUCAUUAAGCAAAAGUUGAAUGGCUCUGCACAGUCGAACACCGUCUUGGAUGUCUACGAAUAAAUCGGUAAUUUUGAAGUCGUAUUCAGAAAUGGGACGCUGCAGGGACAUAAAAAAUUUACACCAAGUCACCCAAUAAGGGUAAGCAUUAUUAAAUUAGUUACAGUCACCUACAGCAGCUAUUGAUGUUUUUGGUCGUAUUCAGGUUAAAAUGCUCAUCAAGUCAUUAAGUAUAGAACAACUACCUGAGCGUAAGAUACUUUAUACCCCAUAAUCACCAAAUGUGCUAGCAGAUUACCUUCUCCAUGCAUUACAUCUGAUGAUAGGAAAUCUAAUUGCACCAAGAGAAAAACAAAACUUAUGCUCCACUUCCAAACCUAUAGAAUUAUGGGCAAAAAUGGGUGGAGCAAUUGUUAAUUACCAUUAAUCAUUUGACGACUUGAUUUGAUGACAGAUUGCACAAGGAACAGCAAAGGAGAACCCCCAUCCACGCCAUCGAUACCAUAAUCAAGCGGAAGGCUGCUCUGGCACUUGGCUUUAUCAAGAAUAAGAACUAGCAAUAAAAACCUUUUUAGAAUAAUAUUACCCAAGGCUUCAUAAUAUCCCGGUCUAUAUAAACCCUCAACCAUCCGGUUAUAAGAAUAUGCCUUCGCCAGACCAGAGUGAGAAAAAAACUGCUUCCCGAGGACCAUUUUCAGAAAUGCAUUAUCUUGUUCAGAAUUCACUUCUUCAGUAGACAGCAAAGAAUCACCACCAAAUAUGAUGUAUAAUCCAAUGUGAAGCCAAAUUGGAUUAUAAGCCAUAAGGAUCCUCGUGGCGCUCUCCUUCAGUCUAACAUCAGUUAUGAUGGGACAAUGAGCCUUCAUUUUUAACCUUCCGUCAUCAAUAUUCUGCGAGACAGAGCAGAAUAUUAGAAAUUUCGAAAUUUUUUAAGAACCCAUGUUUUAUUGAUAGCGUAAAAGAGAUAUAAUCUAAUAAUCUUGUUCGUGCAUUAAAAAUCACCGUAAGGUUCAAGUUUAUUAAGAGUGCAAACUAUAUCUUGAUUGUGAUUGCAAUAUCACCUCAUUUGUGGCAAGAAUUUGGACUAUUCUAUUACAACUGAAGGCUGCAACUAAGCAAGAUUAGCCUCCAUUUACUCAACAUAGUACGGUACGAAUAUAUUUCUAAACUGGGAUCGAAGUUAAUCGAGCUAAAAUGGUGAGAACGUUGAUCUAAAUUCUAAUCGCUAUUUGUAGUAACCAAGCCAAAGAAAAAGGGAAAUGAUAUAAUUGAAGCCGAACCUUAGCCACUUGAGCCAUGAUGUCCAGAGUAUCCUUACAAUUAUUCGAGCUCAAGUAAACUCGCAUUCGUUGCGUCAAAUCAUCAAAGCUGCACACAUCUUUCAACGACUCCCUCAACUUCACAUACCUCGAAUUCGAAAACUCAACUUCGUUUUCAGCGACAUCGCCACUUGGAAAUCCCCAAGACAAUUCUCUCUGCCUCUUCGGACAUCGCCACACCAUAUCAACCCCCACUGCAGGACAACUAUUGAAAUCCCUCUUUCGAUUCCCCCGCGAUCCAGUGCUACAUCCAUCAUCACCCACAGGCCAAUCGCAGCCACAAGAUCUGGGAUUCUCAAACAAGAAAUUAAGCCAAACCGUGAGGGAAUUAGCUAAAGAUUUGAGAGAUUGUUCCUUCUUCACCUGAACCUUGCGAGAGGACUGCGAUUGCUCAAGCUCAAAAGCUUUGAGUUUGCGGGAGGCCUUGGACCGAGCAGCAGAAGAGGAAGGAGCGAGAGAAGGGCGUGGACGGCGAAGUGUGGAAGAAACGAGAGGAGUUCUCUUAGAAGCAGUAAAGAAAGGUUGAGAUGGAGAUUGAAGAGUGGAAAUGCGGGAAUGGCGUUUGGGGGUUUUGAAGUUUGAGAUGUCUUUGAAAAUGGAAGAGGGAGGAGGUUUGAAAGGUGAAGGAGAAGGAGAAGGAGAAGGUAAUUCCUCUUCAACUUCCAUGGAUGGCUGUGUUCUCUUCAACUUUGAUUUGAAUUUUGAAGGUUUUCUUGGGCUUUGAAGGAGAAAGAGAACGAAGUUGAUGAGUUUUUGUGUUUGAAUUCAAAAUGCGAGGGAGACAAACACAGCCUUUGUUAUAAAUACGACGACAUCAUUUUUUUUUAUUCUAAAGUUACAAUUUUACCCCUCACACAUUAAAUUGCUAUAAAAUACUCUUCUCAUCAAUAUUUUUAAAAAUAACCAAAUAAAUUAAAAUAUUUACAAACAAUACCAAAAUUUUGAAUUCUAUCAAAUAUAACUAUUAUAGAUUUUUAUGAUUAUUUAUCAAAGUAUACAAGCAUAGUCAACAUGAGCUUAGCUCAAUUGGCACCUCUAUGUUCCUGUCUCGGGUUCAAAUCUCCACCUGUUUUUUCUAAAUCUUGUGUAUGAUGUAUUUUUUUUUAAAUAUUACCUUUGAUAAUAUAAAAGUAGUAUUUUUUUAAUUAAAAAAAGCAUGUGAAUGUCUUUUGUUUUAAGAGAAGAUUAACUAUAAACUCAUAUUAAUAAAGAAAGGAGUGAUUCAAAUAUUUAUUAAAAGUGGAUAUGUUAUACUUCUUGAUAUUUGAUCCUUCUUAAAACAUAAAUUUAUUGUCGCUUGUAUUGUUUUUUUUUUUUGGAAUAGUUGUAAAUUUAGCAAUUAGAUUCAAGUAUAUAGCAACAUUUCAAAAAAUUACCAUGUGACAAAUACGAUACAAGUCUAUCAACAAUAGUUUUGCUAUAAUUACAAUUUUUUUAAAAUUGUAAUAAUUAUUAUUGAAAUGGUCCUUAAUUAUUAUUAUUAAAAUGGUCCUUCAUUACAAUUUCUUUUUUUUUUUCCUUAAAAAUGUUAAUUUACCAAUUUAGACCGAAAAAAGAAUUGCAAAUGUUUGUAAUCACCGUAUAAAUUUUUGAAUCCGAUGAAUUGUUUGACAUACAACUUAAAUUCCAAGUUUUUAACAUUUAGUGUGAGUAACUCAUCGUCACAUCCCAACUUUUAAUUUUUACAUUUAUCAAUGAACUCUCGACUUGUUAUGUUAAAUAAGUAAAAAAGAAAUUAUGAUAAUAUGACUCAUGUUACUACAUUUUCAAUAAAUCUAAAAAUCGAUAACUCUAUGAUUACCGUCUAAUAGUCUUAUGAUUGUUGUUUUUUUUCUAAAUGUUUUUAUCAUUGAAUGCAAUUUUUAUUUUAAAAAUAUAUCUUUUUAAAAACCAAAUAGAUCUAUUCUCGUAAACCUCAAUUCAACUAAGAUGAAAUGCAUAUUUCUAUUUUUAUUUUUUAAAAUUCAAGAACCAAUUAUCAGAUGCUAUUUUACAACCACAUACUUAUUAACUAUACUUAGUAGACUAAAUGGUCUCUUACAACUUCAAAAUAACUUCUAGAAAACUGUAAUAAUUCAUCAAGGGUAUAUCAACGAACUUUUUGACAUUUAAUGGGUUGAGCCUUUUUUCUUUUUUUGAGUUUUGCAAGUUUGGUUGGUGACAUAAUUUUUAUGACUUACUUUGCCAAAUCAGGAAGAAGCUCAAAUUAAUUUUGCCACAGGCCCAUAACAACCAGCCUGUUGAUACCUUUGUUAAUCAGGAAUUCUCUGCCAUUUUCAACCUUGCUCGGGUAGAAAUUCAGAAGAGACGCAAAUCAAUCUACCUCAUCACUUGUAUACUAAUACUAACCAAAAUCACAGACCAUAGCAUCAAUAAGCAAAAAUAAAUUACAAGCAGUUUAUCGAGUCCUCAACAGUGUGAUACUCAUCAAAACACACAAUACUUCAUCUUACACAAAUCUAUCUUUGCACAAUUAGACCAAAUAGAAUGAGUUGUUCACAAAUCAGACAACACCGAAAGAAGAGUUUCAUAAUUGCUCUCAGUCAGCAGCAAAUAGCUGGGACUUUCUUUGGCAUUACAUGCCACAGCAGAAUGCCACAUUGACAUAUUUUUUUCUUCCAGUUAGGUAAGAAUCCACUACUCCCAGAUAUUGAAAAAACCAACCCCAAGGAGGUGAAGAAGUGUACAGAAUGUAAUGCACAUUGACUAACGAAUGGGGUGGUACUGAGCUGAUAUUCUCUUAGGAGGCAAUUUGCGUAAUAUGUAAAGCACUAAUGCUGAAGGCAGAAUUUCGACCAACUGUGAGUUUAACAAAAUUUGUUAAUAUCAACCCAAAGUAUGUUGAAAUCAGAUAUAUGAAACAGGAACAAGCAUAGUAAAGUAAAGUACCAAGUAGUAGAUGAAAUUCAGAAGAGGGUGAUCUAAAACAUCAAGUGAUGCAUCAGCGUCAAAAGCCGAUAAAGCAACCUGCACUCAACAGUUGGGGAAAAAAAAACAUCUUGUGAAUCUCAUGUUGUGUCAGAAAAGUUGUUUCUUCAACGGCAAAAUCCAUUUUAUUUAUAAAGUUUGUCACCCUAUGCUUAAACAGGAGGAGGUUGAACUAUACCACAAAGCAUCGAAUGAGGAAGCAAGUAAAGCAUAUGGCAGUUACAGAUCCAACCUGCAAUCAUUUUUUAAGAAAAAGGGUAUUUAAAAGCAAGUAAGCAUGAUUUAGGCGGAUCCACAAUAUACAUGAAAACUCAUACGUAACGGCUAAAAAGCCUACAAAUAACAACCUUGAUCCUACUCUAAACCCUUAUCAAUUCUUUACUUUUUCUAUUUUCUUUUAUAAGAAACUUAUCUAUUUUUUUCUCAUCUUCAUUGAGGUGAAAUUUUAAUGUAGUUACAAAUCCUACAGCCUGAGGAAAGGGUUCAGAUGUCGAAGACAUGUAUGUGUAUAUAUGAUAUGUCUUAAGCUUAUUAAUAUCACAUUUUCCAAAUGAUAUACUUAAGUUUAAAGUAGGAAUAAUAAAAUGCACACGUUGCAGAAACCAAACAAUGUCUUCUAAACCUACAGCCCCCUUGUAAUUAUGGCAUCUCAGGUGACAGUUUCUACGGAAAAGCAAAUGGAGUUUGACCAGAUAAUUUGUGUGUAUAAACUUUAGAACUUACGUCAUCUGUUGCUAAAAUAUUACAUGCAGAUGUGGAGGAUAGAAAUCUUCAUAAGUAACUCAAUUUUCCUCAUACAAUAGGAAGAAAAGGGCGUUUGUGGUUACAUCAUGAUAGAGCACGAAUAAACAAUGGACACAUACCUCAUGAAGUUUCUUCCUUCUCCCUUUAGAUUCAAUUGGAAAACGUCUAAGCAUGAAAAACAAUCUAAAGAUUUUCAAACAAGAGAAGUAGUCAGUAAGGGUAAUCAAAGAUAAUACAAAAUCUAGAUGCAUUGAAUAAUAAAUUGAAAGGUCAUGAAGUAGAUACUCACCUUCCACCGUAUAUCAAGAAGCCUAAUGCAGCUAUGAACGAUACCACUGACAAAAUCAAAGGAAGCAAUGGUUAUUAGAAAGGGAUAAAAUAAUGACAUUAUCUUCUAGACUCAAACUACAAAACUUGACCUCUUGUACACAGGAAACAAAUCACUGGAGACAGACUAACCUGCAAUGAAAAUUUUUCCAAUGAAUUCUACCACACUGUUGUCAUUCACUCCGAUGUAUAUCCAAAUGCAAACCUGUCCAUAGAUUAUUAAAUUUGAUUCAGUAAAAUCCCUCCUCGGGAAUUUAAAUACAAGGAACUACCUCACCCUUCCAAAUAAUAUUCAAAAUUCAGUCAAGGAUUUUCAAGUACGAAUUGGCUACUUAUUGAUUUCAAACAAGGGUAGUUGAGAGUAACGGUGUUAAAAAUACCUGUAUGAGAUAUAUCACACUGUUGAUUGAAAUGUAAACUGUUCUUAGUUUAUCUGUUGGCAGACUUCUUGCCUGUGCAUCAAAACAAUCGAGGACAACUCAGCAAUCCUCAUUGUGCCCAAAAUGAUGGCAAUAUCAAUGACAGCUCAGACACUAAAAAGGGAAGACAGCCUUGAUUGCAAUAAAGAAAAUUUUAAAAGAAAACAGACAGCAAUACAAUAAACAAAACUUGCCUGGUGGUAUAUCUCUGCCCAGAAGAGGACCAGGAGUGUGUACGUUGAGAAAAAAAGAAGCCCAGGAAGUUCCAACAAUAACAAUAGUAGAACCUGAUUCAGAAUUAAUUGACAUACCUCAGUAUACAAGAUAUAGUCUUCAUCACACCUUUUUAAGAUUUUCAGAGGCCAUGGGACUAUUGAAAUCUUUAAAAUAUUAAGAGAUUCUAUAAAUAAAGAAAAAGGGAAGAGAAACUAAGAUGCCACUUGGAAACGUAGCUAAAAGAGCCGGUAACUUUAAUUUGCUAAACAAUAGAGAAAAUGUCAAGAUGAUCUAUAAAAAUUGCAAGAGUUCCAAAAUUGUAGAACAUUUGUAACGAAGAUCUUCCACAAAAGACAACAAUACGAUGUGUAAUCUCUUAUAUAGGUUAUCAUCAACAUCAAUAUUUUAAGAGAACUAAUGUGCAAUCUUUUAUCUCGUAAAACAGCUUGGCAAUAAGUAGAUAAGAUAAUGGUGGUAAAUGUCUUUUUCACUACGGUGGAAAAAAUUAAGAACUUAAAUUCGAGCCCAGGAAAGGUUAGGAUUCAGUCAAAUAAAUUUUUUAAUAUAUUUCUGUUGUAACAGAACGUCUGUUAUAACAAUUUCCAGAUUCUGAUUGUAAAUAUCUUUGUAAAUCUAGAGUAUUGGGUACUUAUAAGUAGGCUACUUUACUUCAUCAUCAAAAACAGUGGAAUACAGAUUAUUCAUUCUCCAAAUCUCUAGAGUUUCAAUUGGCGAAUCCCAAAUAAUAUCAAAGAUCCAGAUAUGGUCCAGGUAAAUUUUCAUAAAUGAUAUCGAAGGUUCAAACACUACUCGUGCAAACUUACCUUUGGUUGCAAAAGAAACACUUGCUUGUGGAGCCCAAACACAAUUGCACGUACUGAAUCACGAAGUUUGAAACUAUCAAUUAAAACCUUAGAAUGCCUCCUUCGAGAAUAAAGUCGAACGCUAUUUUUAUAUUACCUCCAUUGACAAUGAAAUUCAUGAGAUGGAAAACUUUCUGUGUCGUCCAGCCAUAUUCUGGAACUCUCAAUUCGAUCCUUAUCAGUUGAAUCUGCACGCACGUACACAAAAUAAGUUCCAGAUGCCCAGAAUCUAACACAGAAAUCUUUAUUCUACACCUCUACUUUGCUCCCCCAUUCUUGUUAAAGCGAACGCAAAGCUAGACAUUGAAAGCUUAAAGAAGCCCUGAUUACUUGGGGAAAAGCAUUCAAAGCCCGGAAAGUAAAUGAAUUAAAUAAUGGGAAACACAAAUUGUACUUAUUGGAAUAUGAAAUUUCCAUUUCCCAAAAUUCACAUUAAAUAAACCAUAACGAUUGGCUCCCAUCAGUGAGUAAAAGGAGCAAUUCUAGGAAAUGGAAACGCACCCAAACCUACCAAUUUACUCAAUUAGCAAUCAAAUACAAAACCAUAACCACACAUAGCAGAUAAGUUUAGAUGGAUGGGGUAGGGAAGCAAAAGAGAGAGAGAGACCAAAGCAACGGCGGAGACUAGCGCAUAUACAGCACAAAGAGAGUAGAAAAUCCGAUCCUGCCAAAAAGUAGAUUCGUUGAUGUCAUUCCACCAGCUGGAUGCCGUAACUCCCAUCUCCAUGGUCGUCGUCAAGUUCAGCUGCAAUCUCGUCAUUCUUCCCUAAAUAGUAAAGAAUCUUUCCCACUAUCGCCCUCCCUCUCCGCCGUAGAAUCAGAGAACCGAGAAUCUGAUGAAUUGAGAAGACCAAGCGAACGCCGGCAAGAGAGGCACCGGAACGCCGGCGAGGAGAGAGGGGAGACAGAGGAGAAAAGGGAUUUUUCUUUGGGUUUUUUGGACUUCGGCCUUUUUGUUUAUUUUGGUCGCUCUUUCCAAAGUAAUCAAUUCAUAAUUCACGAAGGCUGUGGAAAAGAACAAAUGGAGUAAUCAAUCGUUCCCUCCACAUACUUUAUAAAAUGUCAUAUUUUAUCCCUAACCUCUUUUAAAUUAUUAUACCAAAAUUAACCCAAAUAUUUAUUUUCAAAAUAAACUAUACAUUACCUUCAUUAAUAUUUGUUUAUCAAUAUUUCUUUUUAAACUUUUGUUAUUCAUUUGAAAUUACUUUUCUUUGUUUAUUGUUUUUCUUUUUUGGUUACCUUGUGUCAAGCUGGAAUCUUCCCAUUUUAGAUAUUCAAAUUAAGGCUAAGAUUAUAAUUUGGUGACAUCAUUUCGAUAAGCAUAAACUUUGAUUUGGUCCCUUGUGGAGUUUUUUCUACUAAAUACAAUUUUGGUAGUAUACUCCCCAUUUUAAUUUCUUCUUUUUAACAAACGUUAAAAUUAAUCUCUUAAUAUGAAUAAAUUGAUUAAGAAAUAAUAAUUAUCGUAUACGAAAAUAAAGUAUUUGGACAUAUUUUCAAAAUUUCUAAUAAAAUGUUAUAGGUAAUAACACUCUUCUUAAUUAAAUAGUAAGAAGUCAAGUUAGACAAAGUGACUAAUUGUUUUUAAAUUGUAUUUUACCCGAUUGUGAACUACAAAUUUGGGCAGCAGCAGCAGCUAGUUAAGUGUGAUCAGCCAAAUAUAAAUCUGCUAAGCGAAAACAAAUUGUUGUCAGGUGCAUGAUUUGAGUAUGAAAUCUGUUAAAUACAAAUCAUUAAAUAAUUUAGAAAGAAGACAAAUAAAAUGAAUGGAAGUCUCGUCCAAACAAUACAAACCAAAUUUGAAAUCGAAUGGAUAUAAUGUGUUGGACGGUUCAUCUUUUUGUUUUAAUUUCCUUUUCUUUAAUGAUAAUGUAGUCAUGCUUAAUCUAAUAAUAGAAAAAUAUUUAAUUCUUCUUUAUUCAAGUUGAAAUAGUUAAGUUAAUUGUAGCAACGUGAAAGCAGGAAUUAAUGAUUGAAUUUAGGAGGUGUUUUUCCAUCCCUUCUUGUAAAGAAAAUGAACUCCCUUAAUGGUAAGUAAAUUAUUUCGCAUGGUAUUUAUCUAUAAUGAGUCCAUAUUCGAAGCAAAAUUUGUAUUGAAUAUGAAAUCAUGACGUGCAUAUCUCACAUGUUAUGCUUAAAAUAAGUUUUUUUUUUCUUCCUACUAUUUGAUAGAGGAACAUGAUAGACUAAAAACUUGAGCCGACCAAUCAAAUCGAAGUCAGUCUCUUGAAAAAUAAGAGAGAUCGUUUCGAAAAGUUUGAAAUCGAGAAUUUUCAAAAUUAUUUUGAAAUGUUAAACCGAUCCGGCCGAUCUUACUCAAUGAUGUUAAAGUCGGGAAGAAAACAACUCCACCAACCUAUUAACACCCAUAUUAUUGGCUUCUAGGUCAAUUUUUAAUAAUUAUAUAUUUAUUUUGUGGUUAAGCUAUCACCGUGGGAUCCGUGGCGCAAUGGUAGCGCGUCUGACUCCAGAUCAGAAGGUUGCGUGUUCGAUUCACGUCGGGUUCAAAAUCCCGAUCUUUAACGGAUCAUUUUUUUUCCUCCCUUUUCCUCCAUCUGUACCGUUCGUUGAUCAUACUUUUGAAAUCUCAGAUUUUAACAACGGACAAGAUUAAAGGUUUCACCAGUCUUACGUGUUUCGCAUCUGCACUAGAUUGGCUUAGCCCCCGCCUUCGUCUUCAAGUUUUUGUACAAAACCCUAGACCUCAUUUCUCAAGUUUUAUCUGCUGACGAGUCUCGAGCUAUGGCGCUUCUCUAUCGCCUCCGUUCUGCUUUCCCUUCGAACUCGACUUAUAUCAACUAUCGUCUUCACUACCGUUCUCUCUCCACAAUCCUUUCUCCUGAUUCCUCUAAUCCCUUGUCAGCGAAACAGAAGUCCAGGGCUGCACUGUCCCUACUGAAAACGGAGGAAAAUCCUGAGCGCAUUAUUGAUAUUUGCCGAGCUGCUAGUCUCACUCCAGAAUUUCAUCUCGAUCGUAUCGCUUUCUCUGUUGCCAUUUCCAAGCUCUCAAAAUUUAAGCAUUUCGAUGGGAUUCGCCGGUUCCUCGAGGAAUUGAAAUCUCGUCCCGAUUUGAAGAACGAGCGUUUUGCUUGCCACGCUAUUGUUCUUUAUGGCCAGGCUAAUAUGCUUGAUCAUGCUAUUAGAACUUUCAAGCAAAUUGAUGAACUGGGUGUGCGUCAUUCGGUUAAAACGCUAAAUGCAUUGCUAUUUGCUUGUAAUUUAGCUAAGGAUUACAAGGAACUGAAACGGGUUUAUAUGGAGUUCCCUAAGAUUUAUGGAAUCGAACCGGAUAUCGAUACUUAUAACAGAGUGAUUAAGGCGUUUUCGGAGUCGGGUUCGUCGAGUUCAGUGUCUUCGAUUGUGGCAGAGAUGGACAGGAAGGAUGUCAAACCAAAUGCGACUACUUUUGCGAAUUGGCUUGCUGGGUGCUACAUGGAAGAGAAGUUUGAGGAUGUUGAGAAGGUCCUAAAUUUGAUGGAGAAAUAUGGCGUGCGACGUGGAGUUGCUACAUAUAAUGCAAGAAUACGCAGUCUUUGCAAAUUGAAGAGAUCAACAGAAGCAAAAGCUUUAUUUGAUGGGAUGUUAUCCAGAGGUAUGGAUCCAAACUCUGUUACAUAUUGUGAAUUGAUUCAUGGAUUCUGUAAGGAAGGAAAUCUAGAUGAAGCUAAGAGCAUUUUUAAAAGAAUGAUCAACAGCGGUUGCCAACCAGACAGUGAGUGCUAUUUCACUUUGACUUACUUCCUUUGUCGAGGAGGAGAUUAUGAAACAGCAUUCAAGAUCUGUUUGGAGAGCAUGAAGAAGGGGUGGGUUCCAAAUUUCAGUACAAUGAAGUCUCUUGUUGAUGGGCUAGUUAGUAUUUCGAAGGUCGAAGAGGCAAAGCAACUUAUUGGGCAAAUCAAAGAGAGGUUCUCAAAGAAUGUUGAGAAGUGGAGUGAAAUUGAAGCUGGAUUACCUCAGUGAGGAAAUUCUGGGUUCCUGUGCAACUAUCAAUACCAAGUGAGUCUUGAGGAAAAACUAGAGAACGAGGAAUUUUUUCUUGGCUUGAGCUAAUCACUCUCUGCAUAUGUUUUACAUUGAUGCAGUUAAUUGAUUUGUCAGGAAGCUGUUAUCAAAAAGCACUUUUUGUGACCCUUCUGAGAGGCUAUGCUGAAUUUCUACUGUCUUUUAUGUUCUAGCUUUACCACUGGCUGAAAUUUGUAAUGCUGUAGUUGAAUGAAUUCUCUAACUAUUGGUAGGCUCUGACCUGCUUCAAGAAGGGUGAUAAUGUGCUUGAAAUGUUGUCGUUGACCUUCCUGUUAGGUUAGUAAUUGCUGUAUUGAUGGAAGCUAGAUUGUUUUGAGCAAUUUUGUAUGUCAAUAAAGAUGAAACUUAACAUUGGAUUUUAUGCGUCUUCAGAUUUAAUCAUAUCUUUCUUGUUAUAAUUCAAAAUAUUCCCUCUGUGCGAUGGUGAAUUUGGAUAGCAAGUAAUUGCCUGAUAAAAUGCUUAUGUUUCUUCUGCAUGUCUUCAAUUUUUUGAUUUGCUACGAAAACAAAUAUACUUGGUGAACCAUGUGUCCAAGAGAACUAAUAUUUUUAGAGAGAAUGUUUCAAAAUACAAUAAAGUGCCACUAGGUAGUUUUUUUUAAACUAACGUAAAUAUAUGUGAGAUCCUGGGUUGUUUGUAGUGCCAGUUACAAUUGUGUUUGCUCAUUCUUGAAUCUGAGGUGUAUGGGGGAGGCAGGAAAGUGUAAUGAAGAUCACAAAAUUGAAGAAUUUCUUAUAUUUUUCACAACUAUAUUACAUCUCUGCACUAAUUCUUUUCCUCUCUCUUCUCUGUCUCAUGGACCUGCAAGGAGAAACAUCUGAAGAGCCACAGUUCUUCCAUACAAUUGAAUAUUUUCUCCUAAACUGGAUUGUACCUUGAUGAUUGAAACUUGAAACAGCUAAUUGGUUCCCUUUCUCUGUGGCUUGGAAAUCCUAGGAAGUUCCUUCAUAGAAUUUGGAAACACAAACCAUAUAAAGCACCAGCAACAUUGAACAACUCAAAUUUAAGAAAAGCUGCCUUUUAGCUUCUCUUGCAGAUCCUGACCUCAUGAUACAUAUUCUGAGGAUUAUGAAACAUCCAUCUGCAUCUACAUGUGCAAGCUAUGGAAAUCAUUCUGAAGGAUCGUAUAACUCAACCCAGAAAUCUUAUUCAUUCGAUUGCUUCUCGAAGCAUCAAAAGUCGAGCACAUUUUUGUAACAAAGCGAUUGCUGGUUAGCUUCGUCUUCCUUCGCCAUGACAUUAAAGAUUGCCAGAAGGUGGGUGGUGAACUUCUACAGCCAGACGAAGCCAUUUCAGGUCCUUGAGACCUCUGUGAGCUGAUGGAGGUUUCAAGCUCAAUCUUGGCAAAAUAAUCUAUUUCCUUCUUGACGAGUGAACCAAUGGUUCCUCGAGUUCCAAUGGCAACAGGAGCAAUUGCAGCCAUUCCGUAAUGGGAUUUGUAGAAUGUGUUGGUGGGUUUAUUAUGUUGCAUUCGUUUUGAUGUUGUAAAUUUGAAGAAACGGAAAGAAGGUUUUGGGAUGAAGGAUGUGAGAUGUUGUAGGGUCCUUUUUCCUGAAGGGGUUGUGAUUUGUUUGCUUUGAAUCUAAGCCAACUCCUUUGUUUUGAUCUUUUUAUAAAGCCAUCUGUUGAAGUAAAGUGCUUUGGAAGAGAUAGAGAGCAGCCUCCGCUUGAGAUUUUUAUAUAAUAUUUCAUUCUGAAUGUGAAUGCUGCGAAGAAGCAUCGUAGUGUUUCCCUGUCCCCGACGAUAUUAUGAUUCCUUUUCUAAUCUCUACUAAUUCGGUUGCCCACAUUAUUUUCAUCUAUUUGUCAAGAAGUUUCGAGAUCAGUUUCAAUUUAGUUCGUGUUACAAAAUAUUAUAAAUCUACACUUGUGAUUUGACUUUUGUUUUCAUCUCUAAAUUUUAAGAAUUACAUUUUUUUACCUUAAUUUAAAAAAUAAAUUUCCACUUUUAGUUUUUGGUUUUUGAUGUCAAUAUUGAUUAAUUUUAAAUAAUUAUUUUGUGAAAUUUUAAAUUUAAUAGAGAUGAAAUUACAACAUUGAAUCUUAGGGAUUAAAAACAACUUUUUUCUUUUAUACAUAAAAUUUAUCUUACGAUGAUUAUUUCUGUUUGGAGAGUGGUUUUAGAUUCAGGGUGAACUCUCCCCUAAACAAAUGAUUUUGGCUAACCUAUUGAUUAAAAAUAGAAUUGAAAGUGUUGUUUUGUAAAAAAGAACUCCUCCAAAAUGUCUUUUUAACAGAGAACUUACUCCAUAUUAUUUUGGGAAGAAAUGAUUUAGUUUUGAAUAAAAUACUCUAAUUUUUGUGGAUAUUUUUUAAAAUUCUAUUAUAUUUAAAAGUACAAUAAUGAUAGAAAAUGUAUCGUCGUGAUUUGUUGGUUGUGCCUUUUAUGUUUCAUUUUUUGAGAACAGAAUCACCUUUUUAAAUUGAAAAUUAAGAUCAAUGCUUUUAAAAUAAAAGUGGGAUGUUGAUUUACUCAAUAGAAACACAGUGCAAUUGAGUUGUGAAGAUUUCUUCUGCACCCUACAGGAAGCCAAAUCCAUCCAUUGAUCAUGAAAAGGGUUGAUGAACUUUCCCAUCUUGCCUCCUUUGCCUUCUUAAGAAUCUAAGAUAAAUGAGGAGUUCUGGUUUUGGUUCGAUAUAAUAUUCAAUUUUUGCAAAAUAUUAUACGAUUAGUAACUUGGGCAAUUUUUUUUGUCUUGGAGGCACUAAACUUCUAACUUUUUUUGUUGAGAUAUGUUUACUAAUUUUGUAAAAUGCAAUCAUAUGAUACUUCAAACCCAAUGCAUCCAAGUUCCAACCAUAUGUCAACUUUUUGGUAGUUGGGUAUUCCAAUGGAGAGACAAAAUAGAAGCAUAGUAAUCAGAAGAGAAUUAAUCGAUUUACAUGUAAAUUUGCCCAAACAAAAGUUAUAGUUGAACAAAUAAGAGCAAUGAAAACCUUUCUGAGUGCCUUAUAUCUAUAAUAUGGCAUUCAAAAAAGUAGUUAUUAGCUAUAAUGAACAAAAAUAGCCUCAAAAUUGUAUCUUCCCUCUUAUUUUCUUAAAUAUUCUCUAUACUUCGGUAAAAAACCACCUACUCGCACUAUUGAGUAUUGUCUCUCUAUAUUAUAAAUCUCUUUCAUUCAUUUUAGUUAUGAAUGUGAGAUUGAUGAAGAUAUUAUUGGACACUAGGGAGAUGGCAUGUAUACCUUAACUUCCUAUGCGAAGCAAGAGCUUGAACUAAAGCAGCAUUUACACUUGCACGCUCUCGGAAUAAUGAGUCGUACAAGUGACAAACAAACUGUGAAAGUUCCCCUUCGUCAUCAUCCCAGACAUCAAACGGAUAAUUUUCAAUUUUCUCAGCAUCACUGUCUUCCCAGUCACUUACCGGACUAGAAAGCUCCGCAUCGUCAUCUUCUCCCUCCUCUUCCCCAAUCUCAAACUUCCCAUUUUCCACAGUUUCGUAUUCCCCUGUUUGGAAUGUUGUUGAUUGUGUUUCGGGGGGUUCGUUUGAAGAACAUAUUACAGCUUUAGCUCCAGAAUCCAAAAAGGCUCUGAUUAAAGCUGGGGUUGGCCCAUGAGUUCCGGUGCAGAAAAUGAUCCUGUCCCUCCAAGCACCAACCUAGAGAAAAUUCAGAAAUACAAAUAGUGGAUGAGUGACAUUAAGGGGAGAAAGAUAUGGGUACAAGCGGAUUAACCAUUCUUUCUGUACUAGAACUAUAACUAUAUAUUUAGGGUCUUAGUUGAUUCACUCUUCCUCCACCAAGUGGGGCUGACAAAUCUAACGUACAAGUUUCUAUACAUCAAAUCUCAAGUAUCAUAAGUAUCAUCUUGAAACUUAUUAGAAAACCAUCUUUAAAACUUACUAUCCUUGCCGUAGAACAAACUAAUAAGAUAAUGAGUACAAAAACUGGAAAAAAUAAUAUUCUAAAAGCCUUCAAGGAUAUAGCCUAAAGGAAAAAGCAAUUGAAUCAUUAACCUAUUCUCCAAAGUAUUUACGAUAGUUCUCGAGGAAUGUAGGUUGCGAAAGAAAUUGGCUAAGGACAGGAAUAUAGAUAGAACUAGCACCAUGAUUCAAACCAAGGCCAACGACAAACAUCUAGAAGGGAAAGGAAGGAGGACAAAAUCAUCCAAAUCUUGUUCGAAAAACCAAAGUGUUCUGACAAAGAAACUACAUGAAAAAAAAAACCAAACAAAAGCAGUUGAAGAAAAUAUCUAUUCAUGAGAAAUUAUGAAACAAAAAAUCUCAUGGACUUUCACCGUUCCAACAAUCUCCUAGAAUGAACUUGAAACCCUCCCUCAAUAGAGAGUUCUUUAACAUCUCUAACUAAUUAAACAUGCGUCAAUUAUCAUAAGGGGUAAGAAUUUGAAGACAAAAAAAAAAAGAGAUUGAUCAUAACAGAAAGAGACUUGAAGCCCUACCAUCCAACGAACAUCAUCAGGUGAUAAGUGCAAGGAAGGAACAGUUCUACGAAACAAGUAAGCUGCAAUUUCUUGGUUAUCCUCCAUAACCUUCAACAAUAAACAUCAAUGACAUUCAGAACUGGAAUUCUCUGCAUUGUGACUUUUGACUACAACAAGAAAUCACGAGGAAGCAAAGAAAAAUGCCAAGAUAACAUACUUGGGUUUGUCGUCCUAAAUAACGAUGGACGAUACCUCCAAUUUCGAAGUAGGGUUUGAGCGCUACCAAAUCCGACACAGUCAAGACAUUGGAAAGCAAUGAUGCGCCCUUUCUACGAUGACUCCGCAUGGUGGACAACAAACUAAGCUUAACACUUUGUAGAAAUUUCUCUGCAAGUUCCCCGGGUUCUGCAACUACAAAAACAUCAUUUCGCCAACUACAAGAAUAAAGAAUAAGCAAGUCAGGACCAAAUGCAAAGGUUGCAACUAAAUUCACAAAUCAUAAAUGUCUGUACACAUGUUGACCUUAAUAUUGAGCCGGAUGAGUCAUUUUGAAGGGCUAAAUGUACAAUGCCCACUUGAGGUGAAUUUUGUAACUUCUCAUGCAAUGCCCGUACAGGCAAGGAGAGUUCUCUGGGUCCUGAAGGAGACUCGGGGGUGAAUGCUGCUCCUUUACCCAAAUGACCAUCUAAGUUUAACGGUGGGACCAUAUCAAUUCGACCAAGCCUUUGAGGUCCAACAUCAGGACUAUAAAGAAGUGGGCUUGAUGGAAAGCUUCCAGUAAACAAGGGGGAUGUAAAAGGUGUUGGGAAUGUUGAUGAAGGAACAGUCUUCAAAGCCCCAGAUGUUCCUUGCAUAAGGGAUAUUCGAAUUCCAUUUUUGGAACAAAAUGCUUCAAGUUCACGAGCAUGAUACAUAACUUUUCCAGUAUCAGGACUACUGGAAGCUUCAACCAGUAGUACAUUCCGUCUCCAACCCAAAGAAGGGCUAUUUUCAUCUAGCAUUUCCAGAAAUCAGUCAAAUAAUUGGUUAGUUCAAAAAAUACAAACAGAAUGACUGAGAAGUUGAAAAUGCUAUGAGGACAAAACAAACACCUAUGGAUGAUGCCAUGACUCUGGAGAAAUGAAGUGAAUUUAAGUUCUCCGACCACUUCUCAUCAUGUUGAUAAGGCAAGAUUAAUCUUUCACAGGCAUUCUUGAAGGCCAGAUUAUUACUUUGGAUAUACUCCUCAACUGCAGCUUCCAUCUUUAGCCACACUGCUGGAUCAGUUUCGUCCAGUUCCAUGUCACAUCGUUCAUCCACUGCAAUAGAUAAAUAAAAAUAAAAUAAAAUAAACUGAGAAUAAUAUGCACAUCUCUGUUCUCGAAAUAGACGUGCCAGAGGAUGACGCUAAGUUCUUUUAAGGUCAGAAUUUGGUGAGGGCAAAUAACUGCACAAAUGAAAUUUCACAGAAAUGCUAAAGCAAUUUCCCAUUGCACAUUAAGAUAUCAUACCUGGGUUAAACCGGAAAUAAUGUAUUUCAGGCAGCAUAGGUAACAACGUACUCAAGGCUUCCUCCACUCGGUCCACAGAGCAUGCACUCUCAAUAAGCACUUGUCCAGUGUCUAAAUAACGCCAUCCACCUUUCCUCACCUAAACCAGUCAAGACAGUUAUAGAGCAUUUAAAUAAUCUAAUUAUUCAUACGAAAAGUAAAUUACCUUCAUUGGAGUAGAGCCACAGCCAAUGGAAACUAAGCAGUCAAUUUUUGUGUCAGGCCAUAGAAGUUGUGCUUCUCUGAUGGCAAAGAUAGUAGGAUUGUUUGCCACAAUGGCUCCAUCUUGCCAGCGAUUUACGUCUUCAAAAAUUUCAGAGGACCAUGAACAAAUAUAUCAAAGAUCAAGCAUUUUCAUCUUUAAUCUUUAAUAAACUAGAAGUAGGACUGAGAAUCGUUAGUUAACAAUUAUGUUCACCCUAUUCUCAUGACAAUCAAAGGAAGGAUUUGUAGUAUUUCAUUCAAGUCAUGAUGUCCAUCCUACUCGCAUGUUUUUAUUCACAAGCAACUUAAUUUCACUUCAAAAUUGCAAUUAAAAUUCACUACACAAAUACAAAUUAUCACCAAUUUAAGAAACACGUUGAGUUUAUUUAUGCAAUUUAUUAAUUAUAUCUAAUCAUAUUCAUUUAAAAGCUACUUUGUUAAAACCUAGAAUAAAAUUUAAGUACCCAAAUCUAUGGUAUUAAUUAAUAAUAAAGGAGAAUAAUAAUAUAUUUACUUAUACGAAAACUAGUAAAAAAUACCAUCUGAAAAAUCAUCAAGAUAGUAAGGUGCAGCAGACGAAGCUCUUAUAGCUUUCCAUACUUGGUGCUUGCAACUUCCAAUGAAAGCACUGCGUUUAUAGCCAUCUUGGGCACUGGCCAAAGGUGAUCCAAACACAGUAAUUCCUGAACUGUCUGAAAUUGCAAGAGGUACCUCCGGUGUUCCGACAGGAUACUGCAAAAUUGUAGAAUGCAAUGGAGCAAUUGCUACAAUCAGAUCUAGGAUUACAGUUAAUACAAAGGAAAACAAGUUGCUUUAAUAAAUUGUGUCCGAAAAAAAACCAGAUACUAAAAGGUCUUAUUUAAAGUCUUCUUCUGAAAAGAGGAUUUUCUUUGAGUUGUUCAAGGAACGAAUUAGGAGCCUUGACUGUCCUGGCCGUUUCUAUUUCAUGUCUCAUUUCAAGUAUCUCUCUCUCUCUCCAGUUUUGUUAACUGUUCACUUAUUUCUUUAGAUUAUGCUUGGCUUAACUUAGACUAAACCAUUAUGCUUACCUUAAACCUUAAAUUGGAUUAGACCAUGCAACAUUGAUCCUAUUUGUUUCUUAUCGGAAGAGUCUGAUUGUUUUUUUUUCUUAAAUAUGAAUAACUUUUCAGUUUUCAUCGAGAUACGGAAACUUCAGGAAAACAACCUCCAAAGGGAUUAAAACAAACAUAGACAACUAAAAAUAAAAAUAGGCCAAUACACAACCCACCAAAAGAAAAAAACCAACUAAAAGCUCUUAGAGGACCAAUAACAUGGAAAAAUCAUUUCCCAUUGUACUAUAACUGUCUUGUCGUCCAUAUAAAAACUUAUCAGGAUAAAGAAAAAAACCAAUUAAAAUCUCUUAGAGAUUCAAUAACAGAUAAAAAUUCAUUUCCUUUUGCCAUAACUGUCCUGUUACUGGGCGUGGAAGAUAAAUUUUCAAUGUAGCAUAAAAUCCAUUUCAUGGCUUCUUUUGUAGCUGCCAGUGCUGAAAGGACUGCAUUUAGAAACAACAGGAAAAAAAUUCUCUUUUAUUGUGAUUGAACUAUCCUUUCGUCACAUGCAAAGAGAUAACAAUCAGAAUUCAGAGAGUGGAACAUAAAUUUUCAGUAUGGCAUAAGGUUUGUUUCAUGGCUUCCUCGUGUUUCUGCAUGCUGAAAAUCAUCUAAUGCAUAUUGUGGUUCUUUUCUUCUAACAUACAACUUCUGAGCCCUACUUAAAAGAAGAUAGAAGUCUUGAUCUCAAACCUGAUAAUUGCGGAAUAAGAAUGGCUGAGCUGGUACCAUGCUCAUCAAGGUUGACACAACAAAUACUUUCGGGGGGUUUCUAACUGCAGAUUCUAUUAAUAGGUCCCCAUCCUCAUCUGCGCACAUUUCCUUCAAUAGCCUCUCAAAUUGAUCAGCGCUAUGCUGCAAGACAUCAUCGCAAGAGCAUAUUCAAUCAGCAGCUGGUUGGUGAUAACAAAAUGCAAACAACAAAAGUUUACAUAAUUAUACAUACAUCCUAAGUUCCUUAACGGAAAGAACACGAUGUAUCUACAAUGUUUGGUCAUUUAUAAAUAUAAUUUUAAACAAUAAGUUAGAUAAGUGACCAUUAAAAAAGGCCUGUUGCUUUGCUUUUCAAAGAGCCAAGAAAAUCAAAUGCUGGGUUGACCAAUUCAACAAUAAUUUUCUUUCAGAAAGUUGAAAAUACAACAAGAGCUUCCCAAGCGGAAACACCACAGCAUACACAAAGUGAUGCAAGAAAUCAAGAAAAUAAUUACUUUAGAUCCAUGGACAACAACUCUGAAACUCUGUGAAGAACUUUUGUAAAGUUGAUCCAGCUUUUCUCUCCAGGAAGCAGCUUCACUGUCCUUUGGUGUAGGCUCAGCAAAGACGAGCUUUCCUAUAAUCCAAAAAACAAAAAAAAAGGAAGUUUGACCACAAAUUGAUGAAUUGCACAAAAUUUAAUCAUAGCUUAUCUUUGCAGCAUACUUACCAAGAUUUUUAUAUAUUUCUUCACAUUGAUCCAAAGUCAUUUGCUUAAUCCCCAGGGCAACAGCGAGCAUGCCUCCAGUCGAUGUGCCACAUAUAAGAUCAAACAAUUCAUGUAUCUGCCUUCCAGUCCCCUUCUCAAUUUCUUUAAGUAUUUGAACUGUUGCCAAACCUUUCAUGCCACCGCCAUCCAUUGAGAGUAUCCGCAGUCCUUGCUUUGCUACUUGUCUUCCUUUCAUGGCACGCCGUAAAUUUUCAUUCUCCCCUACCCAAAAAGAAAAGGGAAAAGAAGAGAAAAAAAAAUCAAAUUGAGGAAUGUGAGAACGUGAAUCUCAGACGUACAAAUUAAAUUUGAUAAAAAAAACACAAACCAAGGAUUGCUAAAGCUCGAGCUGCAGCUUUAUUCACACGUGGGUUAGGUGCAACUGUCAAGCGUAAGAGUAGUUCGCGCAACUUUUCAGAAGUAACUAGAAUGCGACGAUUGUCUAAGCAAAAUGCCAAGUUUCCAACUGUCAAUAAAGCUGCCCUUUGCACCUGCAGAAAAAGAUUGUGAGAAUUACAUACAAAAGAGUAAAGAAACAAGGAACUUUGGUUGACUGAAGAAUUUGUAGACUUGCCUCUGGAUUUUUCUGGGCACACAACAACUUCAGGGAUUUUAAAAGUUCCUUAGUCAACAUUUUCUGAGCUACAGUAUCAGAUGUGAAAGCCAACUUAGCCACAACGUGCAAUACAGAAAUUACUUCAUCCUGUGAAACAGAUUUUAGGACACUUUUAAUGGGCUGCAUUAUGUCUGCUUUCAUCAACUGCAUGGCAAUGGAGACAUCUGCAGCAAGAGAAGAAAGAGCAAAGCAUGCUUGUACAACCUGCCAUAAAUAACAACUGUUUAAAAUAAACCUAGCAGUAGAGUCUCAAUUUAAAAAAAAAAACAGCAAAAAGGAAUAAUCAGUUCAGAAACAUAAGUCUCACCACAUGACGGUUCUCACUGCUUAUCAUACUUAUAAGCUGAUGAAUUGCAUUCUCAUCUUUACUAAUAACUGCACGAUUUCCUUCAUCUUGCAUGAUUUUUGCUAGGGCAGAUGCUAGCAAAGGGUGGUGACAGGAAGAAAAACGGAAAAUAAGGGAGAAGAAGGCACUAAGCUUAUGUCUGGAUGCACCAAAAUAAGAGUUAUUUUCCAUCUGCACAUAUCAACAGCAAAAUCAAUCAACACAAAAUGUUAUGUCAAUCCUUUAUUUGAAUAUUUGCACUAUUGUGUUCAAUACUACCUCUAUUUGAACAUCCACAGAUCUCAAGUUUUCAUCUGCCACAAUUCUGAUAUUUGCAAGAGAAAGAUGGCGUAACUUGUGCAAUGGCAAUAUUUCAGGAAGAAAUUCAAGAGGGUUACCAAAUAGUCUAAGAACACGCAACUCAGCCAUAGCCCUGUCAGAAAGCUGGAGAAGAUCAUUAGACCCAAAAAAAAAACUAGGGAUCACCAAGAACUCUUUAAACAAAGGGGUAGUAACAGUGUAAAGUACAAAGCACGAAUUGCUGUUUAUCUAAAUAAGACAAAUAACCUGAAGUCAAGAAGAGGCCUAACGAGUUUGUUGUGUUCCAAUGAUAGCUCCACCAGUCCAACACACUGCCUCAAUUCCACUGCUCAAUAUUGUUUCAAAAAUCAAAUAAUACGGCAGGAGACUUGUCGAUGCAGCUCAAACUAGAGGCUCAUUUAUACUUGGUCUAAAUCAAGUUUCUACCAUGCACCAGUGCCCUUGUAAGUUUUAGAAAACAAUGCUUACCUGGUACGGAAACCAGAAAGUUGAAAUCAACUCGGAGCACUUUCAGAUUUUUUAUCUCACCAAGCUCAGGCGGCAAAACCGUUAGUUUAUUGUUUUCAAGGUAUAAUUUUUCCAGUAGUGGCAGUCGAGUUAAAUCUGCAGGCAAUGCCUGGAAUGAACACAAAGAAAUAUUCAUAAACUCAACUUCCAACCAUACUUCCAACGACCACAGCAUUCAUUCAAAAUGAUUGACUCAUAAGAAUGAUAACAAGAAGCAAUCAAACAUUAUUGAUCAAUCAAAAGGAGCAAGAAAACUAAAAAUGUCGCAAGGUCCCAUCGCUUCAAAAUACAAAAACUUGUUUAUACAAACUGGAAAUGCUGAUGAAAACCGCCAUUACAAUAAACAUGCUCGCAGAAGGAGAAGCCUAGUUGUAAAAUCAAUUGCCACAAACGCUUACCAACAAACCACAACCAGAAAGAUUGAGCAUGGUUACGGUUUUCCAGUGCUCGCCAAAAUCUAUCACUGCGUCGGCAGCCCCUGGUACCGUCGGUGCCAAACUCGACCUCAACAACCGCGUCAGAACGCCAACCCCAUCAUUCUGCUGCCCCGAUCCCGCUGACUUCGCCAUCGUCAUAGCUCUAAGAGGCUCCCUCCUCUUCAAAACUCUCAUAUCUACAUCCACAUUCUCUGCUUCUUCGCGGUACCUCAAUUCUACCUGCACAGCAUCCUGCGGCACCGGCAAGGCAACCAUGAGCUGAGACUGAAGCCUGAGAGCCACCUGAUCUUCAUCGUCCCCAGCCGACCAAUCCAAAUCAAUCCGAAAUCCAAGUUCCUGACCCUGCGUCAAAAUGGUUGUCGCUGCCGACGAUGACGACGAAGAAGAAGAACACGAUGAGGAGGAGGAGACACGAUCAGGAUUCUCCGCAUCCUCUUCCGAACCAUAAUUGAGUUUCAAAUGAAAAAUCUCAGAUGGCCGUUUCCAUCCGAGUCCCCAGGACAUUUCAACCAAAUAAAAAAUUAAUUACAAAUUCGUGAUGAUCCAAUCGAGCAAUGAGGAACCAAAGUCAAAUUGCACCUUGGUUCACGGCAUGAAUACCAUUGGUCUUAAACACCAGAAAGAAGACACUGAUUCCUUUCAAGUAGAAUCGAAUUUUCUCAGAAGGAACAACGGAGAUUGAUGACCGGAGAGAUAGUCGACGGACAUUCAGGAGAGGUCAUCGUUCAUUGUUCGACUAGGAGACACCAGAAGAAGCUGACACAAAACGUUUUCUUCUUAAGCCUUUCGGAGUUCCGAUUCUAUAUAUUCAUUUACCGUUUCCUCAAGCAAGCAUUCGAUUUUUGUGAAUAAUGUGACGUCGUUUAAGCUUCUCUCCUCUUAUCUAUCUCAAUUGACAUAUUUAAAUCAGUUUCACAAAAUAUAGGUAAUGUUUAUUCUUUUUCUAAUAAAGAUAAAAAUAAAAUAUAAUUGGAUAGAUAUUUAAUAAAUUAUAUAAAAAAAAUAGAACAUUUAAUUCCAUCCAUAUUCAUCCUCACAAAGGGGAGUAUAGUUAUUUUCUCUCUGAUCAUAAUAUUUUAUUGAUUAAUUAUAAUUGACUAAAAUUUUAGAAAUAAUAAUUAAAUAUAUAAUACAAUUUAAAAAAAAUUGUAAAUAUAGUAAAAUUAUAUUUAUAGGUAUUUUAAAAUGUUAUAUUUGAUUUGAAUUAAAUGGUUAUAUUUGCAACUAUUUUUAUUUUAUUAGUUUGGAGGAAAAAAACUAAAUAUAUAAUAUUUUAAAUAUAAAUUAAUUAAAAUAUAAUUUGAGUAUAAACGACGUAAAUGAAUAAAAAUAAAGUUGAAGAAUAAAAAUGAAAUAUUCUAUUUGAGAUUUGUUAAUAUCCAACCAUGGUAUAAACUAGCGAAACAAAGUUAGAGAAUAAGUCCUUCCAAAUUAUACUCUCCGGUCUAGAAGGAUAUUGAGCAUCGUUUUGGCUUCCAUGGAUGUCUCUCUGGUGGCUGCCCAUGGUUGUCCUGGCCUCAGUACAUCACUUAACCUGCCGCGCGAAGUGGCGCGAACUCGUGCUAAUCUCAGUGCUUCCAUUUCCAGCACUUGCUUUGCUGCUCUGCGUUCUUUUAGUUUUAAUAGUAAAGCGUUCCCUUGUGAAUCCUCAACAACAGACGUGAACGUUACACAAACUGCAACUAAUUCUGCAGAAAAUGGGUACUGCUAAUUUUCUUUCUCGUACCUUCUUCUUUACUAGUUUGAUUGCUAGUUUGAAUGGGAAUACUGUCGCUUAAUUAUGUUUUAAUAAUAGUAUAAAUGUGAGCUUAAGACUUGUUAUGUAAGUUGUUUGAUUGUUUUUUUCAAUGGUGUGCUGAGAGACUUCAUCUUUGGUCGUUGAUUUGGAUUAGGAUCUUGUUUUUCUUUGUGUAUUGCAUGUCUUGUGGUAAAAGUUGCAGAAUGAUAGCAAAAUUCAAGGUUGAGAAAAAUAAAGGGAAAGAGAAAAAAGAAAACCCAUGGCUGAUGGCUUAAACUUUAUGUGUUAUAUAUGGACUAUGGAUCGCGAGCAUUGAAUCCAUCUCCACCCGUUGGCACUUGAAAAACUCGUAGAUGGCGUCAAAACUUACCUUUUAGCAGCCCCAAACUUUCAAUUUUGCCUUCUACUGUCAGAUAAAGAAGAAUAAAAAGGUUUCCUGGCACCUUUGCUGAUUACUCUGUUAGAUGCUUGAUGCACUUGCAAUAAUCAUGGAUUCAUGAUUUGUUGUUGGAUUUUUUCAUUCUCCAGACCUCUGGUAUUGAUUCCCUUUUAUGAUUCCUUUAGGAUUUAGCAUGCUCCGAUUGAAAUUAAUUUCAGGUAUCCUCAAUAUCAUCGUUUGCUUCCAUGUACCUCAUUCAAUGUCCCACCACGAGUUGAACAUCUGGUCGUUUUGGAAGGGGGGCCUGUUAUGGAAUACAUCUCUAAAUCCUUGGAUCUUCCUCCUAUGUAAGUUCUAUCUUUUCGGUUGAUUAUGCAACAUAGUAUUAAGUCUACUUUAGACGAAGCAAUGAAUAUAGUUUCAUUGUUUGAAGGUAUGUUGCAGAUCUCAUUCAUUUUGGUGCAGUAUAUUAUGCCCUAGUAUGCCCACAGCCUCCGCCAACUGCAUCCUCUGAGGAAAUUAGACUAUUCAAAAAAUUUACACAACCAUCAUUUUUGAUAGGGCGAAAAUCUAUCAAGGGGAAAACCUUGAGAGAAGCACAGAAGACUUUUCGGAUAACUCAUAUUGAUGAGUUUGUGGAAGUUGGAACAUACUUACGUGUUUAUGUGCAUCCCAAACGCUUUCCAAGGUGAAAAGAACUACGUGUUUUUCUUUUCAAAAGUAAAAUAAUGUUUAUGAUGGAAUGAUGCUAGUGGAAAUUUAUAAUCAAUCAGGUGCUAUGAAGUUGAUUGGAAAUCAAGAAUUAUCGCUGUGACAGAUUCCUAUGUGGUUUUGGACAAACCUGCUGGUACAUCGGUCUGUGGUUUGAACGCUUGAACCAUUAAUCUCUGUCUUGUAGAAUUAUUUGCAUUGCCUUCUAUUUGUGGUGGCUGUUGGUAGUUGCAUUGUUUCUUCCUGAAACAUUCUGCGAAUAUCCAGAAUAGUAUAUGCAUUUUGGUAAUAUGGAAUUUACCUAUGUAUAACUGAUUACGUAAAUCACAACGCUCGUAGAGAAUGACAAAUUUUAUUUGCAUCAAUACCAUCUAGCGGACAUUCAUUUUUUAGCUGUUAAGAAUGACAAUUGUUCUGUCAGGUUGGAGGCACUACUAACAACAUCGAAGAAACUUGUGUAACCUUUGCAACUCGUGCUUUAGGAUUAACAUCUCCUUUGUGGACUACCCAUCAGAUUGACAACUGCACUGAGGGCUGGUAAUGAUGUUUCUUAUAGAUAUACUCAUGUCUAAAGUAAUGCCUCUCUUCAAAAUACUUAUUUUCAAUCAUUUACACUUUUCUGCAGCGUCAUUCUUGCUAGGACAAAAGAAUAUUGCUCCAUCUUCCAUCGUAAAAUCAGAGUAAGUUUCAUGGUCUUAUUUCUUGUGUUAGACCAUUGCAAUCACUCUUUCCAUAUUGUGGCAUAAUUUUUUUUUUUUUUGGAGGGGGGGGGGACCAUCUUCAAAUCUCUGUUCUUUCACUCAUUUUCCAGUCUAUCAUGUGUGUUGUAUUUUGAAUAUGAAGUAGUUAAAUAUUUCCACAUAUCUUCUUCAUUCUCACAAUACUAAAAACUAAAAUAUAAGAAUGCUCCUAUUAUUCUCUCUCUAAAUAUGAAGUCUUAUCUCUAUGAUAAACAGGCACCAAGGGAACGAGAGUGAAAACUAGUCACAAACAUUACAUUUGAGAUUUUCAUUUUUAAGCACUUUUCAACAAGGGGAACUGAAUAAGAGAAUUAAAAUGGAUUUCUAUUGUGAUGUGUUCAUGAUAAACAAAGAUGCACAAGCUGACAAGUUAUUUUAUUUUUAAUGGUCUUGGUAGAAUAUCCAUUAUACAUAUUUGAAAUUUUAGUAAAGUUGUUUGUGUUGAUGCUUUUCAUUUCUUAAUUUGAUACUAAUGCUUUACAAAAUUUUCUUUAUAGGAGAAAAAGGUUACGAAGCUUUAUCUUGCUCUUGUUGCGGUUCCCCUGCCAAAGGGAAUAAUGACACACUAUAUGCGGCCAAAUAAUUUGGCUCCUAGACUCGUUUCAAGAGGCAAGUUUCACAAUCAAGCAUUCAAAUAAUCAUUGGAUAUUGCUUUGAACUAUUUGUUCCAAUUUCUCAUAUUGGGGAACAUAUGUCUACAGUUUGAUUAUUGAUUUGCAGCCACAAACUCAAGCACCUAGAAAAUCAGUCAACUAUUCUUCCAGCAAAUUAACAUGCAAAUUGUCGUCCUAGUUAUUUAUAUUUUAACUCCCUCCCAACCUGAUGCCAAGAAUGGACACCUAAACCUUCAACCCUGACCACAAAUGUAUCCGUACCAAGGUGUGAUAGGCAGUUUACGUCUUUUGGUCACUUUAAACAUCUUCUUGCAGAUUGUAUUGACGGAUGGAACUUGUGUCAGCUUGAGGUGUUGGAAUGCAGAGAGGUUUCAUGGCCAGAUGCUGAUAUUGAAGCAAAAUACAGUAUUGAAGAUUGUGGGUGGCCCUCCAAAAAGAAAGCAUUUGAAUGUAAAAUCAACCUCUUGACUGGUCGGACACAUCAGGUUUGUAGCGUAGUAGUCUUUCUGUUUCUGCAAUUGUCUUUGUUAUUUUGAAACCAUCUUCAGAAACUCUUACAUUCAUUGUUCUUAAAAUAGACACAAUAUUUCCUGAUGAUGCAGAUUCGAGCACAACUGGCUGAUUAUGGAGCACCAUUGGUUGGUGAUUCCAUCUACAUGCCUGCAGCAGUUGCAGAGAUGGCUAAUCCUGGGUUGAAUCCAUUUGGAAAAUGUAAGAAAGAGUAUACAAGCGAAGAAGAUAAAGAAAAUGCAGUGGCAGAGUGGAUUGCUCUUCACGGAAAAGAACCAGCAGUUGCUAUUGGACUGCAGGCCUAUGAGAUUUCAUGGGAUUCAGGGGAGCACAUAUACAAUGCUGGUACUCCAUGGUGGAGGCAGGAACAGUUAUAGCUCGAUAUCGACUCCAAGCCAUCAUUUUGCAUUAGCCAACAUUCUCCAAAUCUGGAAGGUUAUUUCUACCACCCAAUCAGAAAAUAGUUGAGAAAGAUUCUAGGUUUGUUUGGAUUGACUUUCUAAAUGCUCAAAACACUUUUUUAAACAUUUUGAAAGUCAAUCAAAACAUGCCUUUUAAGUAUUUUGUAUUGCUUUAAAAUCAAGUUUACUAUUUACUAUACAUCUUAACCAGCUUAGUAUAGAAAGUUUAGGAACGAAAGUAACACCAUUCAAUGAUCAAAUCAGUCGUGUACAGGCAGUUACCUUAAUAAUUCUCAUAUAACACUGGGGUGCUGCUUGGUUAGAUCACUUUCCUUGACGCAACUGCGAUGACAUUGUGACCCAUCAAAGUUCGGAAAAGAAAGCUUUGGAGUUCUCUUCAGAGUGCGAUGAUAAUCUUCAGGUAAAGCCCAAACCUUUCUGUUUGUAUAUCCAUUCGCCCAUUCAAAUUUGUCCAGCAAAGACUUAGGGAAUGUUCCCUCCCACGUAUGCUCCUUCUCUGAGCAAGCACCGCAUUAUAUACUAUCGGGAGAAGCUUCAAUUCAACCAUGGCCGCACAAAGAGAAGCUCUGGUUUUGAAUUGGACCAUUGGAUGGAUAUAGUUAACUCAAAAUUUUUGUUUCUAUAGAUACUCUGUGCCUCUGUGAAUGUAAUCAAAUUUGAUGUUAUAUCUAUGAAUUCAAAAGUAUAUUCUAUGAGUGGUGUUCCUCGAAGCAUUAGAUCUUUUGUCCAGCCCUUCCUCAAUCAUGGAGUGAAACUUUUUUGGGGCUAAAGCCCUUUCUCUAAAAAGUUAUUUGGUAAUGAAGUUGACACACUACGGUUUGGGUAUGAACUGUUAGAAGGGUCAAUUUUCCUUUUAAUUAUUUUACUAAUUCAGCUCUCCCUCAAAGUAGUUAAUUGCUCCAGUGACAUCAACUCCCUAGAAAUUACCCUUUCUCUCAAAAUGAAAUUUUGAAUUUUUAGGUUCCUAUUCUGGAGAGGCAAUUUUUCUAUUUAUUUUACCAUAAAAAAAAAGAUUGUACAAUUUUGUCUUCUCUACGUGAAUUCAUUUAAUAUUAGUUUUAGUAUUUUUAAGUGUAAUUUACAUAAAUCUAACCAAAUCCAGAAUGUUUUUGGCCCGAAAAGUCCCUUUACGAUCAUUUUUUUUAUAAGUUCCAUACUCUGCCCUUGCGAUUUAUUUAUUAAUCUCAAGUCAUUUGGUUACAAUUAAGACCCGUGAUCGAAUAACUAAAUGUAAAAUACUUUCAUUUCGAGGUAAAGUAUGUUUUGAGAUCGGAUAAAAUAAAUGUAGAAUUCUUUCAUCUCGGUGCUAGUAAGGUUCGAGAUCUAAUAACUAAAGAAAAAUUCUUUUAUUUUAGGGCAUUGUAUAUUUCACUUGUGAUCAAUUUAUCAUAGUUGACUUGGAUAAUUUUGAUAUUAACCUUGUGGACUUUUUUCGUUUUCUAAAUUGUUCUAAUAUUUGAGAACUUGUUAUAUUUGUGAAAAAAACUUAUUUUUAAAUACAAUUUUGGUAUUUCUACGUAAAUUGGUUUAAUAUUAGUCUUAGUAAUUUUAAAUAUUUAAAUAUAUUUGUGGAAGUAUAACUUAGAAGAGAGAAAUUAUUUUAAAUAAUAAAACUGAUAAUUUUAUUUUUACAAAUAUAGAGAAUUUUAUUAAAAAUAAUGUGUUUUGUGUAAAUAUUUUGAAAAAUAGGGUUGUUUAAUAAGAAAUUAUAAGAAUAAUGUUGUUUCCAAAACUAUUCUAAAAAUAUGUGUCUUUUUUAAAUUGGACGAGUCGUGUACGGGGCACACGACUUCGUGAAUGUACAUGGACCCACGUGGACUGAAGUCGUGUACCAGGGUACACGACUUCCUAAAUAAUUUUUUUUAAAAAAAGUUAUUAUAUUUUAAAAGAUUAACUAUUUUUAAAAUAAAAACGUUUGUGAAAGACGGAUUUGAAAUUGAUGAACAAAAUUUUUUAAAUAAAUACUCAACCGAAAAAAUGGAUGAACAAAAUAGGAAGAGGAUGAACAAAAUAGGAAGAGGAAAGGUGAAGAUAGGAAGAGAAAAGGUGGAGAGAGGAAGAGAAAAUUUGAAAUUGGGACGGAAAAUGAAAUAGGAAGAGAAAAGAGGAAGAGAGGAAGAGAGGAAGAGGAAAGAUGAAAAGAAAAAAGAAAUAAGAAAUUUGAGAGGAAGAGAGAAAAAACGAAGGAAGGAGGGAGAAGGAAAGAGGGUGAGGAAAAACGAAGAGAGGAAGGAAAAAAAGGAAAUUGAGAACGAAUCAAGGAUUUUUAGGGUUCUUAAAAUGGUCGAAGUCGUGUACCCCUACAUGACUUUCUACAUGUGCGACACGUGGCUACACCAGUGAAUCGUUGACUCACCGUAUGGAAGUUGUGUACCUCGUACACGGCUUCGACCACUACGCGGCAAAAUGUGCCAGCUGCAUACACGACUCCAAUCAAAAAACGUGGGCCUGGUCCAGGACUCCAGUCAGAUACAGUAGGUUCGGUCCACGACACCAUUGGGAUUUAUUGAAGUCGUGUACCCGUACACGACUUUAGUCACCUACUUUUUAAAUUUCUUUCCCAACUACCCUAAUUUUGUAAAUACUUUUUAAAAACACAUUAUUUUUUAAAAAAAUCCCAAAUAUAGCUGUUGAUUUUAUGGAAUCAAUCUAUAUUUCAUUCAUUACUUAAUAGAGAUACAAGCCUAUAUAUAACCAUAGAGAAAUACACUUAAGGAAAUAAUAUCAAAUAAUAUCUCCAAAAUAAUAUCUCCAGAAUAAUAUCUCCUAAGAAUAAUCUAAUUAUAUUAAUACCUUCCCUCAAACUCAAGGUUGAAAUCACAAACUUGAGUUUGCUAAGAACUAAGAAAAGAAACAAUAUAUCUAGAAUAGAAUAAAAAAACCCGAAGAACAAACAGACAAAGAACUUCUAGGUUAAAACAAACCCACGAAAAACUUCCGGGAUAGAAACAUAGAUCCUCGUAUAGAGAUCUAUAACAGAACCUAGGAAGAACGAAACAAGAACUUCGGGGGGGCAAACUGAAAGAGCAAAACUGAAGCAAAGUAGAAUCAAAGCUGGACGAAAAUAGGGUCGGAAUUGGACAGAAGUGUUUUGUCGGAUCAAAGUGGAACCGAACGAACUAAACUAGAGCAAGUCAGAAUCAGAUUAAACGGGAAAUCUGGGGCGAACAGAACGGAAACUGAACUGAAUGGAGCAGAGAGGCUUAGCGGAUCUGAACAAAAACAGAAACGAGGCGUCGUUGGAUCUGGGCUUCGAUCUAAACUUUGAAGGCAGACAUGAAGGAUGGGUCUGAACGAAAUUAGACAGAUCUGGAACAGAUUGGAGGCAGACGCGAGGAUCUGAGGACAUGGGGUUUUAUGGUUUUGUUGGGACAGCGUAAGGAGAUGGAGCAACGGCAACGAAACGCAGCGGCGAGCGGAGCUUCUUGGACGACGGAAAAAACUGAAACUCUUCGGCUGGGCGUUCGGCUUCAACUGACAGAGGUUCAAUCGGUUGCUUGGCUAACGGAAAAACAAGAGGUCGGACGAAGAACUAUGAAGGAGAUGGCCGCCGCAGACGCUAGUGAAAAACGAAUGGGGUUUCUGGGGUUUGGAUGGUGGCAGAUUUGAACAGCAAUGAGUGACAAAGGGAAGGUGCAACGACAACGGCAAAUUUGCAGAUCUAAGGGGCGGCUUCAGCUAAUGGGAGAUGAUUCUGCCUCCGUUGAUGAAUGAUCAACGGAGGCAGAGAUCAAACGGGAUGUGGAGGCUAGAAUUCAAUAAGGCGAAAACCCUAGAGCUCUGAUACCAUGUUGAUUUUAUGGAAUCAAUCUAUAUUUCAUUCAUUACUUAAUAGAGAUACAAGCCUAUAUAUAACCAUAGAGAAAUACACUUAAGGAAAUAAUAUCAAAUAAUAUCUCCAAAAUAAUAUCUCCAGAAUAAUAUCUCCUAAGAAUAAUCUAAUUAUAUUAAUAAUAGCUAUACAAACAUUAAUCUAUAAUGAUGUAGGAAAUGAAAAAGAAAAUUUUCAAUUCAUUUUGGUAUAUUGAAAAGUGAAAACUUUGUUUAACGCUAGUUUCCCCAAACGUGUAAAAUCAUUUAUUGGCAAAUUUAGGAUAGCUAUAGCAUCAUCUUGGUCUCAUCAGCCCAUCCCAGCUCAAAGACUCCAAAGACUCCAUAGGAUGCUGGCUUCCAUGAAUAUAGCUCUGGUGGCCACCCAUGGUUGCCGUACCCUCAGUAGUACAUCACCAUCCCUGCUCCGCACAUUGGCAAGACCUCGUGCUAGUCUCAGUGCUGCCAGUUCCCGCGAUUACUUUGCUCCUCGGCGUUCUUUGGGUUCGAAAAGCAGCGCAUUUCCUUGUAAAUCCUCAAUAACAGAUGUUACAGUCAAAACUGCAACUAAUUCUGCAGAAAAUGGGUGCCGCUAAUUUUCUUUUCCUCAUUAUACCUUCUUGUUUAUCAGUUUGAUUGAUACUUUUUUUUUUUUAUUAUUUAUUUAUAUAUAUAUAUAUAUAUAUAUAUAUAUAUAUAUAAGACGUUUGAUUGAUAGUUUGAGAAGUUACACUGCUGUUUAGCUGUGUAUUAAUAGUAUAAAUGUGACAAAACGACUUACAUGUUUAAAUUGUUUUAAUGUUUAUUUAGUUGUUUGUGGGAAAUUUCAUAGUUGGUUCUUCUAAGAUUUCUGGUUUAUUUAAAUCGAUGAAUUGGGUUAGUAUCUUGUUUUUCUUGUGGUAAAAGUUGCAGAGUAAAAGCUAAAGUGGAAGGAAGAAGAAAAAAGAAAGUUUGUAAUAUAUUUGGACUACAAACUUACAAGCACUGAAAAUUUGCAUUAACUGACUUACUUGUUCGUAGGUCCAAUUUAGUUUGCCUUCUGCUGUCAGAUAAAAGGGGAAUAAAGGGGUUUCCUAGAACCAUCAAUUCACCACAGCCCAAAAGUUUAAGUUGAUGAGUUGGAAUAGAUAUUAAUUGAAAGGAAAUGACACUAUAAGUUUAAACGCAGAACUGACCUCCUACCUUGAUAGUAUGUUAAAUCAAAUCACCAUUCAAUUCAGAAGCUCAAGUUGAAUGGUGAUUGGAUUUUUUUCAUUCUCCCAACCCCUUGUAUUGGCUUCCCAUUUUAUGAUUCUUUUGGGAUUGGGCUUGCUGAGACUGAAAUUAAUUUCAGGUAUCCUCAAUAUCAUCGUUUGCUUCCAUGCCCCUCAUUCAGUAAACCUCCACGAGUUGAACAUAUGGUCGUUUUGGAAGCAGGACCUGUCAUGGAAUAUAUCUGUAAAUCAUUGAACCUUCCUCCUCUGUAAGUUAUACUGCUUUUUGUUGUUCAUAAUAAUUUAUUCUGCAACAAAAGGUCAAGUCUAAUUUGGAUGAAGCAAUGAAUUCAUGCUUUCAUUGUUUGAAGGUAUGUUGCAGACCUUAUUCAUUUUGGUGCAGUAUAUUAUGCCCUAGUAUGCCCACAGCCUCCUAAAACUGCAACCCCCGAGCAAAUUAGACUAUUCAAAAAAUUUACAGAACCAUCAUUCUUGAAAGGGCGAAAAUCUAUCAAAGGGAAAACUGUGAGAGAGGCACAGAAGACUUUCCGGAUAACUCAUGUUGAUGAGUUUGUCGAAGUUGGAACGUACUUGCGUGUUCACGUGCAUCCCAAACGCUUUCCAAGGUGAAAUCAGCUAUUUGUUUUUUAUUUAAUAAAAAACGAUGUUCAUAGUGGAAUGAUGCUUGUUGACAUUUACAAUUAAUCAGGUGCUAUGAAAUUGAUUGGAAAUCAAGAAUAAUCGCUGUGACAGAAUCCUAUGUGGUUUUGGACAAACCUGCUGGUACAUCGGUCUGUAGUUGAACACUUGAACUGUUAAUCUCUGGCUUGAGAAAUUACUUUCACUGCCUUCUAUUUGUGGCGACUCUUGAUUUUUGCAUUCUACCUUCCUGUGACAGUCUGAAAAUUUGAUCAAGAUUGACAUAGGCACUAGGCAUUUUGGUGGUAUGGAUAAAUUUACUGAUCUUUCAGUAACAUGCCACCUCUCAAGUAAUAAAAUUUGAUGAUGUAAACAAUAAACCCUAAUAGAGAAUGCCACCAUUCAUUUGCAUCAUUUUCUUUUUGUUAAUAAAACAAUUUAUUUACAUAGUACCAUCUAGCUGAACAUUCACUUCUUAGGCUUUAAGUAAGACAAAUAUUCUGUCAGGUUGGAGGCACUACUGACAACAUUGAAGAAAGUUGUGCAACCUUUGCAACUCGUGCUUUGGGAUUAACAUCUCCCUUGUGGACUACCCAUCAGAUCGACAACUGCACUGAAGGCUGGUAAUUAUGUUUCUUAUAUAUAUUUCUAUGUCUAAUUCUAAUUCCUCUAUUCAAAAGACUUGUUUUCACUCAUUUACACUUUUGCAGCGUCAUUUUUGCUAGGACAAAAGAAUAUUGCUCCAUCUUCCAUGGUAAAAUCAGAGUAAGUUUCACGGUCUUAUUUCUUGAGUUUGACCAUUGCGGUUAGCUUACUUUACUAACUGGUAAAAUUAUUUCCAAGACAAUGCUUAAAAGUGACAGCUCUAUUCCCUUAAUGUAAAGUAAAACUAUCUUUUUAGCCAUAUUUAAAUCUCUGUUUAUUUUCUCCUUUUCCAUUCUUUAUUUGUGUUGUAAUUUGGAUAUGGUGUAGUAAAAUAUUCCUGCCAAAUCUUCAUUGUGCUCACUAUACUGGUAAAAUGUAAAAAUGGUCGUAUUAUUCCCUCUCUAAAUAUAGUCUAAUCUGUAUGAUAAAGAUGUCUAUUAAGGGAACAAGAAUGUAGGCUAGUCCUUAGACUUUGCAGUUGAGAUUGUCAUUUUUAAGCACUUCACAACAAGGGGAGUUAAAAUGAAUUUUACUUGGCGAUAAUUCAUGAUAAAAAAGCUGCACGAGCUGAUGAGUUAUUUUAUUUUCAGUGGCAUUGGUAGACUUUCCAUUAAUCAUCAUACACAUUUGAAAUUUACUCGUUAAGUUAUUUUUCUUGAUGUUUUUCAUCUCUUAAUUUGAUAGUAAUGCUUUACAAUUCUUCUUAAUAGGAGAAAAAGGUUAUGAAGCUUUAUCUUGCGCUUUCUGCUGCUCCCGUCCCAAUGGGAAUAAUAACACACUACAUGCGGCCAAUUAAUAUAGCUCCCAGACUUGUUUCAAAAGGUAAGUCUCCCGAUCAAGCAUUCAAAUAAUAAUAGGCUGUUGCCUUGAACAAUUUGUUGCAAUUUGAUAUGUUGAGGAACAUAUGACCGUUUAAUUAUUAUUUUGCAGCCACAAACUCAAGCACUUAAAAAACUAAUCUUAGCUUUUCUGCCAACUAAUUAUUAAUAUACAAAUGGAAUGGUCAUCCCAGUCAUAUUAACGUUUUAACUCCCACCGAACCCGGCACCUACAAUCUCAACCCCCAAACGUAUCAUGUAUCCAUAAUAAGUAUUAGAUAGUAUGUGGUUCCAUUCAAAACCAAUUGUCAAUGAGAGGAGUCCCAUCUAUUUUAUAAGGAGUGUGAGGUCCUUUGAUUUUAUCAAUGUGGGAUUCUUCUGGGUUCACCAUUUCUUUUUUAUUAGACCGAAUACCCGUUUGGGUUUUUGAGGCUCUUAUACCAUAUUAGAUGUUUGGGUUUUUGAGGCUCUUAUACCAUAUUAGAUGAUGUGAGAUUUCAUCUCAAAACCAAUUGGCUACAAGAGGAGUAGUUCAUCUACCUUAUAAGAAGUGUGAGUUCCUUUGAUCUUUCCCAUGUGAGAUUUCCAACGAUAAAGCGUGCUUGGCAGAAGUUCUCUAGGUCGCUUUAAACUUUUUCUGCUUGCAGAUUGUAUUGAUGGAUGGAUCAUUUGUCAGCUUGAGGUGUUGGAAUGCAGAGAGGUUUCAUGGCCGGAUGCGGAUAUUGAAGCAAAAUACCGCGUUGAAGAUUGUGGAUGGCCCUCCAAAAAGAAAGCUUAUGAAUGUAGAAUAAACCUCUUGACUGGUCGGACACAUCAGGUUCUUAGUGUAGUCAUUCUGUUUCGGUAGCUAUCUAUAUAAUUUUGAAACCAUCUUCACAAAUACUGCAGGCAGAGAUGGGACAUUGAAAACAGUUCUUAAAAUGAAUAUGCUGUUUCCUCAUAUGCAGAUUCGAGCACAGCUGGCUGAUUGUGGAGCACCGUUGGUUGGUGAUUCCAUGUAUAUGCCUGCUGUGGUUGCGGAGAUGGGUAGUCCUGGGUUGAAUCCAUUUGGAAAAUGUAAGAAAGAGUAUACCAACGAAGAAGAUAAAGAAACUGCUGUGGCGGAGUGGAGUGCUCUUCAUGGAAAAGAACCAGCCGUUGCUAUUGGACUGCAGGCUUAUGAGAUUUCAUGGGAUUCAAGGGAGCACAGUUACAAUGCUGGUACUCCAUGGUGGAGGCAGGAACAGUUGUAGCUCGAUGUUGACUCCAAGCCAUCAUUUUGCAUUAGCCAACAUUCUCCAAAUCUGUAAGGUUAUUUCAACUGCUCACUGCACACACGGAAAAGAGUUGAGAAAUAUGCUCUUUAUUUUGUUUUGCUUUAAAAUCCAGUCUUUUGUUUACAAAUAUAUCAAAACCAUCUACAUCUAUAGCCAGCUUAGAAAGUUAAUAAUCGAAGCUAACAGCAUUCAAUUAUUAAAUCAGUCGUGUACAAGCAUUUACAUUGACAAUUCUCAUAUGGUAUAGGGGCGCUGCUUGCUUAGAUCACUUUCUUGGACACAAUUGCACUGACGUUGUUGCUCAUCAAAAGUUGAGCAAUGAAAUUUUUGUACCAAAAGGUUGAUAGCUUGGGUGUUCUCUUCAGAGUUGUAUAGUCUACAUGGCAAAGCCCAAACCUUUCAGUAUAUCCAUUCAUCCAUUCAAAGUUAUCCAGCAAAGACCAGGCAAAGUACCCUCUCACAUCGGCUCCUUCUCUGAACAAGCAUCACAUCAUAUACAAUCAAUACAAGUUUCAACACAAUCGCAUAAGGAGAACCUCUUGCUUUCUAUUGGACCAUUGGAUGUAUGUUAUUAGUUAGAUUCAAAAUUUUCAUUCUGUACUCCUAAUGUAUGUAAUCAAGUUUGAUGUUAAAGCAUGAAUUGGAAAGGAUGUAAUCUAGUGUUGUUCCUCUAAGCAUUAUUUCUCGUCUUUUCCCAGUCUCGUCUUUUGCAUGUCUCCUUAGAAAUUAUUGGUCAAAAUGACUCUGUUUCUGACUAUUUUACCCCUCCCUCAAAAUAGUUAGUUGCCCAAGUGAAAUCAUUAUCCAGCAAAGAACUAGUCUGUUUAGUAUUUAAUUGAAAGAUUUUGUUUCUUCAGGAUGGAAGAAAAGAUUUUGAACCAUAGAAGCUAAGAAGCACGAACACUUCAAUUUGGAUAAUGUGUCUGUGUUCGACACGUGUUGGACACUUGAACACUCUGACACUUGGUGGACACCUAUUGGACGCUUGCUAGUCCAACAAAUGUAUUAGACAUGCAUAGAUCACCUAUUGAUUAGAGUAAAAAAACACAUAUAUGACAAUAGUGAUAACAUUUGAGCAUAAAAUACAUCAAGUUAAGUCUUUUAAGCAUAUAAAUGCAUCAAUUCAUUUAGUAUGAAUUUUCUUUUACUAUAAAAAUGAUAUAUAUAUUUUUAAAAUGAAUAUUUUAAUAAACGUGUCCUUGCCGUGUCGAGUACUAGAUUUUUAGAAUAUGAUGUGUCGUCGUGUCCGUGUUGUAUCGUAUUCGUGUCCGUGCUUCUUAGCAUAGAUGGGUAGUGAAGUUUAUGGCAAAGUUCUUUGACCAUCUAAGCCUGUCCAAG
Molecule: long non-coding RNA, 53757 nt
Filed under: Cucumis sativus (cucumber)
Lineage: Eukaryota; Viridiplantae; Streptophyta; Magnoliopsida; Cucurbitales; Cucurbitaceae
Description: long non-coding RNA (CSAT_LNC000097)
Rfam family: tRNA (bases 26501-26572)
Source: RNAcentral